RNAcentral lists this long non-coding RNA (50226 nucleotides) under Triticum aestivum (bread wheat). RNAcentral's name for it is "long non-coding RNA (TAES_LNC006806)". The record is from RNAcentral. Lineage: Eukaryota; Viridiplantae; Streptophyta; Magnoliopsida; Poales; Poaceae.
CCCAACACUUCCAAACGGGGAAUCAGUUGAUCUGCUAAUGGUUGCUGGUUUGUGUGUGGCCCAAUACAAGUGUCUAAGAUAUUUACGUAUCUUAGAAACUUGUAUUGGCUACCUGAAGCUCCAGUACAUUCAGACGGGGGAAUCAGUCGAUGUGCUACUAGUUACUGGUGUGUAUGUGGCCCAAUACAAAUCUGUAAGAUAUUUAAAUAUUCCAGUUCUGUAUACGAAAUAAAAUAAACUACACGGUUCUUAAGUUUCAGUUCUGGAUUUCCAACCUUGAAAAUUCUAAUUCGAUACUUUGAGUUUUUAAGUUUAAAACCGGGAUGCUGAAUUCAAAAUUUUAAAUUUGUAUAACUUACAUUUUUCAAGUUUACAUAAUAUAAUACCAUAAUUUAAAAAAUAAAGAUUGAGUCAUCAAUUUUUAAAAAAUAUAUAAUUUGGCACAAAAUGGUAAGGGGACCAAUAAACCCGGACGGAGGUAGUAAUAAAGAAAAUAAGUAUUCUUAGUUCGUCAUGUUAUUUUUCAGACAACUACCUGAUGUUCCUGGUAAUCAACCGCAGGUUAGUUUUAAGUCAGAUUUCCUCUUUUGCUGGAAACCCCUGAUAAUAAUUGGGUUAAUCAACACGCAGUAAAUAUCAAAUGCUUUUUAAAAGUUUCCAUAUUUUUUAAACGCUAACUCUAAGUUUAACAUGUCAUAUAUGAAAUUUAAUUAGAACAAUGCGUAGAUUUCUAUUUAGGGUGCAACCUUAAUCAAUAGCGCAUGAUCUGUCUUUAUUGCAAGCCGGAUUGGAAAUGAGCACCUUAGCAAAACCAAAAUUGGAGAUGAAAGAAACAAUCUAUAACCACGCAGAAAAAAGGUUGAUUUCUUACCUUAUGCCGAGAGAGAGACGUCUUAGGAUUGAGAACAUCCAAAUAUGUUGUGAUUGUGUGAGCACUGAGGCCAUCGUUGGCGAUGGCGGGAAGGAGGAUAAGUGCUAACACAGAUGGGAUGUCAUGUAUUGAAAGGAAAGACCUAGACCUAUUAGGGUCUUGACUCAUGGUUAUUGGGUUAGAGGAGUGUGGUAUUUGUUUCUCCCGUUGCAAUGUACGGGCUUUUUUGCUAGUAUAUAUAGACUAGUAAGCAUGCACGUGCAUUGCACGUCUGAAACAAAAUAAGUUCACAUGGUACAACAUUAAAAUAAUAUUUAUCCAAAAUUUUAGAUCGCUACAAAAUGUUGUCAAGUCACUCAAAUUGUAUUUCUAAAAGUGUGACAUAUUUGUGAUCGAAGGCACAUAUCAUAAUUUAUAAUAAAAAACAUAUAUUCUGAAUCUAAUUUUUAUUUUAGCAAUGUCCAUAUUGUCACGAUGACUAUCUCGUGCAUACUGGCACAUCGACUAAGACAAAAAUAAGAAAACAUUGGUGAUAUGAGGCAAAAUGUAAUAUGUGACUAUAGUAACUUAUACAAAAGUUUAGAUCCAUAUAGUGAGAUGGAAUGUCUCUGAAUAGUUGGACUUCGUGGCGCGCUAGUAUCCCUACACACAUAUUAAAUCAGUCAACAUUCAUGUAUUCAUCAUUGUCUCGUAUGUUUUUUACUUGUCUCAACUUUAAACUAAUAGGAUAAAGAUUAGACCUUUUCACCCAUUCACUAAUGUAAAAUCAGAAUUCUCUCAGUUAUAAUGACAUUAGAGUAGUAAUUUAUUGGAAUUCAAAAUUAACUAAAAAAAUAUGUCUCACUCUAGUAGAGCGACAUCAUCAUCCAUACUGAUAAAAAAGCAAAUUUCAUCCAAUAAGUCAUCAUUUGUUGGAUUGAGAGACGUUGAAAGGGUAAAUGAUUGCGAGAUGAGCUCAAUUUCUGAUGAUGUAUUUGAUGUUUUGAGGUUCUCAGAGGGUCUAUCCAAGAAUCAUACAAUCCAUGUGAUUUGUGGCACCCUGAACGUCAUCUUCCAUGUCUCGAUUUCUUAUAUCAUCAUCAUCAUCAUUCAAUUCCGAGUCCGCUAAAGUGACAACUAAUUUUGUUCUAAAAUCUGUCAUAUAAUCCUAUUAAAAUAAUAUCAGAGUUAAAUAAUGAUACAACAUAGAAUAAAUAUAAUAAUAAACAACGGAAAAAUACUUGUAGAGUGUCAGACAAAAUAUCUCUUGUGAAGUAUUCCAUAAAAUAUACCAUCCACAUACCACAAGAUGAUCUGCAUGAUUAGUAAACUUAAAUCUACUCAAUUUUUUUCAUCAAUUCUAUUGAUAUUUGUAUUAAAAUACUUUUAAAAUCAUCAAAUGAUCAUGACUGUAAUAAGCUGUGAUGAAAAAAAAAUCUCACCCACGCAGGUGAAUUGGACAUGCCCUAUAAUAAAUAAUCGAUGAUAAUUCUUUUUCGAAAAUGUUAACGCCCAGACGUGUGGGCAUUAGUCAACUCGUCCACACGCCUCCAUCACCGUCCAGUAACUUCUGCACGAAUGUUGGUAUGAAUUAGCUGAUUUUGUGUCCACGUAGGACAACUCGCGUGUGUGGUGUGUGAGAGAGGUCGCCCACACAUCCGUUUUACCACACGGAGGGGCCGAUGUGUGGGCGUUUAGCAGUUCGCCCACACACCAGUUUUUCAAUCACGCACAAGGGCUGGUGUGUGGGCAUUUGCCAUCUCGCCCACACACCCGCCUCCUCUCCCACACCCAAGCUGCCAGUUGCCAUGCGUUUUGCAGUGUACAUGGCAACUGCCCUAGUAUGAUUGCAAGCAGAUGGCAUCUCUCUCUCUUUUUUACCCGAACAUGUCAGUUGCCAUAUGUUUUGCAUGGUACAUGGCAAACUGCCCUAACGUGCACGUAAGCAGAUGGAAACUCUUUCUUUUUAAAUGGCAACUGCCCUAGCGUGCUUGUGAGCACAUGGCAACUCUCUCUUUUACCCGAACAUGUUUUUUGCCAUGCCUUCUUUUGUAGCGCUACAUGGCAACUGCCUAGUGUUAGUAGGUGGCAACUCUUAAAGUUUUGAAAUCAUGGCAACUGUAGUAGAUCAGACCACACAUGACAACAGCUGUAGUUAUCCAAAAAAUGGCAAUCUGGAACUUUGACCUGAGAUGGCAACUGCAGUUGAGCAAACAUGGCAACUGUAGUUGUCCGACAUGGCAACCGUAGUUCAGCGACAUGGAAACUGCACUUAAACGAACAUGACGAGGGUCCGGCCCAUGGCAACUGCGGGGCGCGCGGUAAAGUGUCACGUGGGGCGUGCGGGACCAUGAGGUACGAGGCCUGACGUACCGGGCGUAUGUGUGUUAUCUAUUUUGCCCACACGCACGCAUGUAAGAGGGACCGGGAGAAAAAAAAAGAGGCGUGUGGGCGCUAAUUGUUUUGCCCACACACAAACGUGUGAGCUGGUCCUCUUAGGCACCACACAAAACAUGUGGGCAGAUUUUUUAACGCCCACACGUGUGGCAGUUAUUGACGCCCUUCUUUUUUGUAUGGACAAUGCCGCACGCACUCACAAUCCCUCCCUGGUCACUGCCUAAUAGAAGUAUUAUUAGUAAGAAGUAGUAGUAUUAAAAAAACUCAGUCAGCUAAAAAAACUCAGUCAACCUUCCUCAGUCCCCUCACAUUUCUUAUCUUCCCCAUUCUUCCCUUCCUACCUCCUCCUCUGUUGCCACACGCUAGAUCCCCCAUCCACAGCCGGCACUCUCUGGUGGGCGCCCCUCCCAUUCGUCACCAUUGUCGGCGGACACAUAGGCCCAUGCUCUUCCCUGCCCCGCCCCUUCUUCAUAUCCGAUCCCCGAAGUGCUCGAGGAGGCGCUCGAGCUCGGCAUGCUCGCCGGCGACACCGGGGCCCUCCCUCCUCCUGAUGCACUCUCCGUCGCCGCCAUGAGCGUCUCCACCUUCUCCCGCGCGCCGUGAAUCCUCCCUCCCCCCUGCUCGAGACGCCAUCAAGGUCCGGUUCCAACUCUUCUUCUCCCCUCGAUCCGGAUGCUCUGCUCUCCGACACCAUCUUUUUGCUUGUUCGAUUCAGUCUGGAGCAGGAGCAGCUGCUGCUCGCGACCUCUAGUUCCUUCUUUCCAUGGAUGUGCUGCUGCUCGGGGCCCUCCCUAUGCUUCUCCUCGCUCGUACGGGUCCAGGUUAGUCUCUCCGACCCCGCCGCCUGCUCGUCCCCGUAAAAUCGGUGCGUAGCCUCACUGUGUGCAAUGUUCAUCGCCUAGGGUUAGCUGCUCAGGGGACAUGGUGUGUUCCGUGUGGCGCUGCCUUCGCGGCAGCCGCCGUUGUUGUGUCUCGUGUGUCGCGGCAGCCAAUGGGUCGGGAAGGUCUGAGACUGGAGGUCCCUGCUCGCCAACUCACAGACGGUUGUUCUCCGACCAGUUAAAAAUGAGUAAGCUUUCUUCCAAGCCUAUGAUUUUCCUUUCAUCCUCUUAGUUGGUGCCUUUGUUGAUGAUGCAGCCCUGAAUGGUUCAGAUUUUUUGAAGGAGAAGGAGGUGCGAAAGGGGAUGGGAGCAACAAGUCUGAAUCGAAGAGUAUGUUUUGAUUCUGAGAUGCAUUGUACAGUAUUUUUAUUGUUCUAAGAAAUCCAUGUAGUUGUCUAUGGAGCAUUUCCUUGAAGUGAUGGUUGGGUAUAUUUGUUUACUAAUUCAAACUUCCAGAUUACCUUAGUCGGCAACUCCAAAUAUUUCUUAGAUGUCUUACCGCAAGCAUUGUACUGCAAAAAUAUAUAUACUAAACCGGUUCAUGAUAGAUCAACCAAAUCUCGUUGAUGCUCUCACCUAUUAGGAUAUGUACAUGAAAAGAAGGAUAUGCUAAAUCUGCUUAGUCCCAACAAACAAUCAUUCAAAUGCACCAUUUUACGCUCUGGAAGCAGGAAGUGCAACUUCUUUAGUCUUUAGAAUUAGAAUGGAUCAGGUGUACUCCAGAUGUUUUCAGUUUUAAAUAAUUAUGCACACAAGAGUGCAUUGCGAAAUAGCAAUAAAAAGUUGGAUUUUGACUGGUACCGAAAAGGAUUAGACCUCCGUAGAAACAAUUCGCUGCUGCUGACUCAGACAGAGUUGUGCUGCACCACGUUGAUCUCGUCGUCAUCGAAGUCGUUGAUGGACAUGCCCAUAUCUUGCCGCCUGCAUGGCAUGUGUAGUGACCAUAUGGACAUGAAGCUGAUCCUAUUGCUCAAAGGAUACAUAUUAUCUUUAUGUGUUUCCUGAACUGGUCGGAUUAGCAGUGAUGUUUGCAUCUCCUCCCUCUUCCUACUCGACCACCACUUUCUUCUAGGAACUGAUAGCAUGUCCUGCCAUGAGGAAUUUGAAGCGGUCAGAAGACAUAAGAGCCGGGUCCUAAACUAUGUUAAGGCCAUGCUGAUGUGUAAGAGUUUGCGGGUGACAUCCUCCAUGGCAAUCAUAUUCCCUCCAACAUCCUUCAGGCCAUGGCGACCAGGUAAUGCUAACAGCUCAGUUGGAUAAAGGUUCCUUAUGUUUUGCGAUUUAGUUGAGUUGGGUUACUCUAUUGUGUGCCUCACGUCGGGGUUGAGUAGAGUUAAUCUUGCCUAUGCUAGUGCUAGCCUGCUGGAUUUGGGUGAUAUCCAAAGAUACAUUUAAACUUGCAAACAAAUUUCCUUAGAGGGGAAUUAUAACAUGCAAGCACUAUAAGUUCAGUGUAUUAUUAUUAGUACUGCAUAGCAAAUUAGCAAUCCAGUUCAUUCAUAAAUAAGAUUUCAACACACCAUUGGUAUAAAAUAUCGUACAUAGUUCCGAGGUCUACAUGCCUCGCCUGAUCCUGAAUUUGACCCAUAAAUAUAUUUCAGAGACACAACUGUAAAUAUAUUAAGUAAGAGCAGAGGUGACUGUUGCUGCUGUUUUGCCGGCAAGAGGGCAUGCAUCUGUGCAUACAGCAGCCACGGACUAAGCAUUCCUUCACCAGUAGUAAGGUGUUCUUACCCUUGCAUUCUUUGUCCCCAAAUAAGAAAUAAGAGGACUCUGUCUCCUGCCGCCAUAGGGGGUCAUCUGCCCAUGUGAUUCUCCACCGCAUUAUGGUCUUAUCAAACGAUGGUGAAGUCGGACUAAUAACUAACCAUAGUGGUGAGGUCUUUGCGGUGCAUUCCUGGGCCUAGCGAGUCGAGCACCUGGAUACACUGCACCUUGGUAUUUUUAACUGCUAGGUACCAAUAAAGUCUUCAAUGUUUAUUCAUGCAACAGCUAGAACGAAUAUCUGAAAAUAGGCAUUUUUUUAGUUUAGGUCCCAUCUAUACAAACAUCCGUCCUCGAUUGAAUUAAUAGUAAUAUGUACGGAACUGAGGCUCACCAUAUCAUGUUCCAAAUAAGUUGUAGCUCUCUUUAAUACCCAUCUUGGUGCGUCAUCCUGUAUAGAGCUAAAUUCCUUAUCUUAGAGAUGCAUGCAUUCUCUAAGAACAAAAUUCAUGUAUUCAUCAGUAUUUGCUAUGGGAGUAUUGCGUCCAAGUUGGUACGAUUCAAAAGCUACAUCUUGAUGCGUCAUCAUGUAUGAAUCAUUUGUCUGGUCAUUGCCCAGGAUAGAAAAUCAUAAGAUUAGUAGAGCAUAACAAUGUAGGUAUUGUAGUAGACGUAGGAUCGACAAAAGUAAUUUGCAGGUUUUUAGUGUUUUGAGUACCAUGUUCAACAGAGCCUCUCUUAUCAUUAUCCGGCGUAUUUUUCAAGUUGAUUUGAGCCAGUAAAAGGCUGCAUACCUGAACAAAGGAAAGAGAACCCGAAUGUACGGUCAAAUAAACAUUGUCGACACAGUUGCAACAUAAUUAAGGUCCUGUUCGGUACCACUCCGCUCCACAACUCCAGGAGCGGAGUUGGCGGAGCUGCAGUUCAAAACGACCGAGCUGCACUUCCCCCGCUCCGCAGAUUCCGGGAGCGGGCGACUACCGAACAGGGCCUAAAUCGACGAACUAACCAUCUUCAAUUGUGCAACAUGGGUCACGUAUUCUGCUGAGUUGGGGUACCUUAACCCCUGAAAUUUGGACGUUAGGCCCUGCAUUCAUCAUUUUUCAACAUAGAAAACCUUUAAUGAGAUGUGAAACGAACGGCUUAUAGCAUUCUGCUGUGCAACUAUUUAUUUUUUAGAACUCUGUUGUCAAAAUUCUAAUCCUGACUAAUGUUGCAACAGGUCAAAGAAGUCGAACCUGAAGAAGUGCAGGGAAGAAUUAUGGUUGCGUGUGGCUGGCUGGUUCAGGGGAAUUUCAGGGCGGGCGCGGCGGCACGGGUGCCGGAGCAGGCUCCUAGGCACUGGCGAUCUGUCGGACGGAUAUUAGAAACGAAGGUGAGGUUGUAUCUUGUUAGGUGGGUCUUCAUUGGUCGUCGAAAUCAUACCUGGCCAAUCUGAUGGGGCUGCCUACUGCUCCAGAACUCAUGCAGAUGAUGCAUAAUAAUCUUGUUGUAGCCUGGCCGAUCCGUGAAUAUUUGAUUGUAGGUGAAGGAGGAGCGGCCGCCCACUCGACGGUGCGGUGUAGGGCGGCGAGGGAGGCCGGCAGGGAGGCCUCAAUGCGGUGCAGGACGGCGAGGGAACCGUCCAGCGAGGCGACGAUGCGAUGCAGGGGUCCAGGCCGCCGUGCAGGGAGGCGACAUGACUGCUGAGCUUCGUCUGGGGCGGUGGCGAGGAAAGGCAGGGAGUGGGGCCAGGGACACGAUUAGGUUCGAUUUCCUUUUUUUGCGAGUUGGUUAGAUGGUUAGAUUAGCGUGAUUUGAGGGGCUGCGGAUGCGGGACGGAGAGUUUCAUAUUUUCCUCUUGUGGAGUAUGGUCAGUCUAUUGAAACUGCUAAGCGCACACCAGAUCUUGAAUAAAUUAAUGAUGACUGUUGGAUUGGGUCGUGUGGGCUUCAUCCUGUGGUGCUGAUGUGUCUGUUUACGUUUUGCGGGGUGCACGUAACAAAGUUCUUGUUUGAUUGUUUAAUAGUAGUGAAGAUUAAUAGUAGUGAAGAUGAAGAAAACCGUGUCUGAUUUCUUUUCUCUUCUUACAUGGCUAUAAUUUAUUUUUAGAAGAUUAUAGGGGGCUUCGGGCUUCCCAGAAGAAAGAAGGGUGGUCUGAGUUGUGCGGAGGCACGUAGUCGAUGGUAAAAGAACACCCGCAAAAAAAAAACCCGUCAAAGCCCAGCCCAAAUUGAGGGAGAGGGAGAGACCGACUACGUAUCAUGUUGGGCCUUAUGGGUUAUAAAAGUGCCCUCACGCGGGAGAGACUCACCCCACGCGGCCACGCCACUCUUUCUCGUAGGCCCGCCCUACCCCAAGUCCCCAACCCCGACCUCGCGAUGGCCGGCGACGGCGAUUCCGACACAUACCUGAAGCGCAUCCAGGCGGAGACCCUCCGUAACGAGCACAAGCGCGUGUGUAUUGACCAAGAGUUCCACAGUCCCGCCGGCUCUCCAGCGUCCUCUUCGCCUGAAACCGGAUAAGAUCACCCCCACCUCCCUGCCAUUGCUUAUUGCCUUGAAGAAAUAACCUUUUUUUUUAAGGUGCAAAGACACAAAUUUUGUCGAGAGCUGCAAACGCAACCGCUGUUUCCUUUUAGUUUGUGAACUAGUAGUUCAGUUAACAGCGAGAUAGCACGCUCAAGCGUGAAGUUUAAGUGUGCCUGAAGCUUAAGUGUGUCCAUGGGAAAACAAGUACUACUCCCUAUGUAAAGUUGUAAACUAAUAUAAGAUCUUUUACUCCCUCUGUAAACUAGUAUAAGAUCUUCUAGAUCCCUCUGUAAACUAAUGUAAGAUCUUUUAGAUCACUACUUUAGUGAUCUACUCCAGAUAUUGUAUUAUACAGUAUUAAUUUACAGAGGGGGUACUUAUUGGGGCUACUAGUAUGGAUCUGUCUAAGUUUGAGCUGAAUGACACACCUCAUAUGCUUGAAUCAGCCGACAUGUAUGCCCAUCUUCAGUUUGCCCUUCCUUUAUAAAUUAACACUGUAUUUUGUAUGCUGAAAUGAUGGGCACUUGUUAUAACCCAUAUGGCUGAACUAACCACAAUAGUCACUGACACAGUAUCAUUUUGUCUAGGGUUGAGGAGCAUGCCGGCAAGGUGAGCAGCAGUGAGCUUGGGUGUACAAGCACGGAUCUGGCUAAUUUUGAGACCCUGACGCUGAACGAUACACCUCACACACUUGAAUCAGCCGACAGGUGUUUCCAUCUUUAUUUUGUCCUUACUUUUAUUAGUUUGGUUUGUUCAAAUGUUGGGAAAUUGUUAUGACAUAUAUCGUUGAACUAAUGGGUAUUUAUUAUGACCGAUACGGUUGAACCAAUUGUACUACUUGUUAUGACCUAUAUGGUGGAUGCGGGGUAAAUUCUGUUUAAUGAUGAGACCUACUCAUUUUUUUUCUGUUCAAGCCAACCUGCAGGACCUUUAGCUUUCCCUGUUUUUGAUUAAUCAAUACAAUUAAUUGGAAAAAUCUUGUUGGUAAUUUACAGUAGGCGGCACAGGUGGAAAAAUGUCGCAAGUGAUAUAGCCAUUGGUCAUUUUGCAAAAAGUUAGGAGUGGAUUCUGACUGCCUUCGUGUGUGUGUGUGUGUGUGUGUGUGUGUGUGUGUUCUAAACAUGCUCCAUUAAAUGUAUAUCUCAUGGUUAAGAUUGAUUAUAGAUUUAUUUGUUUCCAUAAGACUUCCGAGCCUCCACAGCCAUAGAAGUUGACUAAAGCAUGGAUGUAAAUUGUUUGACCUAGGGUGGUAAUGCAUGCUGACGCAGUCGAUGGUGCCAUUCUUGAUUCCACACUUGCGGAGCCACCAGCGCACGAGAAAGAAAAACCAAGGUAAGGACUCCCCAAACAUGUUUUAAAUGAUGUAUACUGAUUUUCAGAAAGCACUCGUGUUGUUACGUUUCUUUAGGUUAACACAAUAGCUUUAUGUAUUGGAGCUAUGAAUUGUCUUUCAUAGGUCAUAAUGGAAAGUAGCAUAGUUGCUAUGCCUAGUGAACCCCACGUCAUCUAUAUUUCUAGAACCAGGUUUUAGUAUCACACCCAUACCCAGGUACUGUAAUCAAUGGUGCAUAGUGAAUAAAGCAAGGUUCAUUACAGCUUAAAACAAGUUCAAUUAAGCUGAGAAUCCAUUUAUCACAACUUGUCCCUUGUUGUAUCAUUACAUGAACUUCGUCCUACAUCUAUGUAUCGGACCCUGGGAUCAAGAUUAUAUAAAUCUAGUUGUAGACAAUCAUAUGAAAAGCCUCACUCGAUGCAACUGAGUUGGAGUGUCAUCGCUUGGCAUAGCAUGAUAAAUCCCGAGCUCUUACCGCAUGAGUCGCUCGAUGGAGCUGAGCUUGAGCGUUAUUGCUUUGCCUUAAACGGGAUCAGAGAAACGUCUAAAUAAUUACCCGUAGCAAAGAGUGGGUCUUACACUAGUUAUUAACCAUUUUUGUUGACUGUACUCUGAUGUUUCUAUCUAGGCGGGAGAUACCACGAAAAUAUUGGCCACCCAAAUAUGAAGGUGAUAUAAAAUUUGCAGAAGAACAAGCUCGAAAACAAGCUGAAUCAAUUCAAGAACGAGGACAUUAUACUUCUUCUAAGGAAGAACUUGCUCAAAAUGCGAAUAGAUGGAUGACCGAGGAGGCGAUGGUGGCUUUCAGAAAAUACAUCGAGAGUGAAGAUGAUCUUAAGGUUCCCAUGUCUGUUCUAAAUCUUUAAUUGUUUGGACUGUAGAGACCUAUCACUAACACUUCUUUCAUCUUAGGGAGUUGAGUAUGAAUUUGAUGAACUUCUCCAUCAAUGUUUUAAUGUGGAGCAUUAUUUAAAGACAUGUCAUCACUUCACCUUUACUGUCAAGAUAAAGAAGCAUGGCUCAGCCGAUUGGACAUCAGUGAUGUACUUCACUGAGGUCCGCGGAAUAUUUAUGAUAAAGGAUUAUUUCUGUUAUCCUUUAGACCCGGAUGAAAAUGGUAUCAGAAAUUUCACCUUGUGAAUUCUAGUGAUCUAAAAAGAUUCUAAUCUUGUGGCUUAUUUUGUUAGGUCAAUGUUAUGCAUGUCAGAACCAAGGAAUGCAUGAGUUAAGGCACCCAUCAGUAGGGAUAUUUGACUGCGGCAAGGAAGAUGCAUCAUUUCCCUACUAUUGUGAGGAAAGUGACUCUGAUGAAUAUCAUCCAAAAAUGGAAUGGAGUGAAUCUGAUGAUGAUAUGAGUUGAUGGCAUUGUCCAUCAUUCUUGUAGGAGUGUAAGUUUACUUUAGCCCUUCUAUUCUCAUAUCCUCUUGAUCUGUUGACUCAAGUCAAGUUGCUAGUUGAUUUGACAAUCGCAGUGUAUAAUCGACUACAGGCAUCCGAAAAAUGGUCACUUGCCGCACAGCAAUGGUUUAUCAGGGUUCACCCCUAGCUCCAGCAGUAUCAUCCAUGGCUGGCUGGGACCUUUUUUAUUUUGGGGUUCUAUGUAGAGAGACUGGCUGGACAUGGGAUGUGCUAUUAUGUAUUGUUGGUUAUAAUGCCACACUGGUGUUUGCUCUGAUGCAGCCGGUUUGUUUAAGUUCUUGGUUUCGCACCUGGUGAACUGUAAGUUUGCAUGUACUUUUUUUUGAGUUGGUGUUUUCAUGUACUUGGAAGUUGGAACUGAUGAACAUCAUCUGACUCAGACACCUGAACUGUGUUGUCCUUUUGUGAUGAUUUCUCUUUAUCUGAAGUUGCUGAUGCACUUGAACUGAAAGAUAUCUUGCUAGUAACGGUAUUGAUGUGGUGCCACCUGAAAUAUUUCCUUAUCUUCAAUCUGUGCUAGUGCCUUCACAUGACCUUCCAGGGCGUGAAGCAGAGAGACAAUAUAAGAGGGGAGACGCUUUAAUCACACCGACUGAUUUUAGCGUAGCAACAACCGACUCGUGUUUGAUUAUCACGGAGCACCUUCUUCCGCUUCCUAUUAAACCAAAAUCUAGACAGGAAAUAAGUGCUUAUUGCUGUUACCUUUGGUGGAUUAGGCAUCAGAUUACUCAUAAGUCCAAUAAAUGAUGUAGAUGCAAAAAUAACUAACUUUUGCAUAUCUGAGGCUCAAAAACCCCUCUUCAACAGAUGAUGUAUAUGCAAAAAAUAAUUCAUCUCUGUCUUCCGGAGAUGUAAAAUACAACAUCUCACAGUGCAAAUUUGCAUCUCCACAUACAGGAGAUGUAAAAGCGGCGGUCGCGCGCCAACCGCCCAACUACCUUCAUUUGGCUUCCGCACGACUGUCGGCCGCCGCCGCCAUGGCUGACGCCGAUGACCCCACCCGCCAGCCGCUUGUCUGACCCACCUUGCCACAACGACCGUCGGCGCGACCACGGUCCCCAAUUUGGCCUCUGCCUCCAUGCCGCCACCCCGGAUUUGCCCCCACCUCGGCCGGUUGUCGUCGCGCCGGAGCUGCCUGCGAAGAAGCAACGGGGCGCCAAGCCACACGGUGGAGGCGUGAAAUGACAGAUGGCGCGGGGGCGCAACCCAACGGUGAACCAACCUCGGCUGGCCAAAAUUUCGAAGCCGGACGCGGCUGCUGCGGGCAAUAUGCUGCUGCCGGCGGCCGUGGCUUCUUCCUUUGGCCAAAGAGGCCCUUCUCCACCUCCGCCGCUGCCCCUACGUCGUUCAUCCUCCUCUUUCCGCCUCGAAUCGCCCCUGUUCCAUCGCCCUAAUUCGUGUCGUCGCCCCGAUUCGCCACCCCCACCGCCUCGCCGCCGCCGGCCCGAAUCACGCCAUGCCGCCACCGUCCCCACUGCCGUCGCCCCGAUUUGACCGCCGCCCACUAGUUUUUACAUCUCCAUUUUGCAUCACCUAUUGAAGUUGCACUUUACAUAUCUGUUUUACAUCAUCUGUUGCAGUUGACCCUUUUUUUAGAUGCAAAAAACACUUUUUGAUGAUGUAAAUUUUUACAUUCGUGUUUUACAUCUCUAAAUUGCUCUAAUGAUAUUUCCACUCCUGAAUGUCCAGCAGUUAGAGCAUCUACAGCCGGACUUGGCAAAUCCGACCCCCCUAUACGUUCGUAGACGCGCCGGGGUACGCUCGUGGGCGCAUCUGGAUGGGCCUCAUAUUUCCGUCCCGGCAUCCACAUAUCUCAAAUCCGGACUCUCAAAUACAUGCAUGUCGAUCAUACAAGCCAAUGUCGCACAUAAAUAGCAAAUAUUGGUACAAAGCAUAGAUAGUGUUUACAUAAAUUUAUUUUAAAUUCCAAACUCAAGCAUUGGCUCCUUGUUGCCAUUGUGGGUCUACAUGUGCUCCACAAGAUCAUUGAGUAGUUGUGUGUGCACCUGCUGAUCUCGAAGAUGUUGAUGCUGAAGGAAAUAUGCCCUAGAGGCAAUAAUAAAGUUAUUAUUUAUUUCCUCAUAUCAUGGUAAAUGUUUAUUAUUCAUGCUAGAAUUGUAUUAACCGGAAACAUAAUACAUGUGUGAAUACAUAGACAAACAUAGUGUCACUAGUAUGCCUCUACUUGACUAGCUCAUUGAUCAAAGAUGAUUGAGUUUCCUAACCAUGGAUAUGAGUUAUCAUUUGAUCAGUGGGAUCACAUCAUUAGGAGAAUGAUGUGAUUGACUUGACCCAUUUCGUUAGCUUAGCACUUGAUCGUUUAGUAUGUUGCUAUUGCUUUCUUCAUGACUUAUACAUGUUCCUAUGACUAUGGGAUUAUGCAACUCCCGCUUACCGGAGGAACACUUUGUGUGCUACCAAACGUUACAACGUAACUAGGUGAUUAUAAAGGUGCUCUACAGGUGUCUCCGAAGGUACUUGUUGAGUUGACGUAUUUCGAGAUUAGGAUUUGUCACUCCGAUUGUCGGAGAGGUAUCUCUGGGCCCUCUCGGUAAUGGACAUCACUAUAAGCCUUGCAAGCAAUGUAGCUAACGAGUUAGUUACAGGAUGAUGCAUUAUGUAACGAGUAAAGAGACUUGCCGGUAACGAGAUUGAACUAGGUUUUGAGAUACCGACGAUCGAAUCUCGGGCAAGUAACAUACCGAUGACAAAGGGAACAACGUAUGUUGUUAUGCGGUUUGACCGAUAAAGAUCUUCGUAGAAUAUGUGGGAGCCAAUAUGAGCAUCCAGGUUCCGCUAUUGGUUAUUGACCGGAGACGUGUCUUGGUCAUGUCUACAUAGUUCUCGAACCCGCAGGGUCCGCACGCUUAAAGUUAGAUGAUGGUUAUAUUAUGAGUUUAUGUGUUUUAAUGUACCGAAGGUAGUUCGGAGUCCCGGAUGUGAUCACGGACAUGACGAGGAGUCUCGAAAUGGUCGAGACAUAAAGAUUGAUAUAUUGUACGACUAUGUUCGGACACCGGAAUGGUUUCGAGGAGUAUCGGGCAUAUAGCGGAGUACCGGGGGGUUACCGGAACCCCUCGGGGAGACUAAUGGGCCUAUUGGGCCCUAGUGGAGAAGAGGAGGGGCGGCCAAGGGCAGCCACGCGCCCCCUUCCCCCCAAUCUAAAUUGGACAAGGAGGGGGGCGGCGCCCCCCUUUCCUUUCCCCCUCUCUCUCCUUCCCUCUCCUCUCCUACUCCCACUUGGAAGGGGGGAGUCCUACUCCCAGUGGGAGUAGGACUCCUCAUGGGGCGCCCCUAGGGUGGCCGGCCCCCUCCCCCUCCUCCACUCCUUUAUAUACGGGGAGGGAGGCACCCCUUGGAGACACAACAAUUGAUCCAUUGGAUCUCUUAGCCGUGUGCGGUGCCCCCUCCACCAUAAUCCACCUCGAUAAUUUCGUAGUGGUGCUUAGGUGAAGCCCUGCGUCGGUAGAACAUCAUCAUCAUCACCAUGCCGUCGUGCUGAUGGAACUCUCCCUCAAAACUCGGCUGAAUUGGAGUUCGAGGGACGUCAUCGAGAUGAACGUGUGCUGAACUCGGAGGUGUCGUAUGUUCGGUACUUGAUCGGUCGGAUCGUGAAGACGUAUGACUACAUCAACCGCAUUGUGUUAACGCUUCCGCUUUCGGUGUACGAGGGUACGUGGACAACACUCUCCCCUCUCGUUGCUAUGCAUCACCAUGAUCUUGUGUGUGUAGGAUUUUUUUUGAAAUUACUACGUUCCACAACAAAUGCAUCUGCAGAAAAUUCAUCAGUUGAGCCGCAUCUUGAUCUUCCGGGAUUUCAACUUGUUCUCCAGGUGCUUCGAAAUCAUGGGUUUGGGCUACACCAUCACCCUCAUCCUCGACAAUCAUAUUCUGCAGAAUAAAUACAACAUGUCAUUAGCUGCCAUAAAGUUUUUGAUUCCCACAUCAUUGCAGUGCUCGGCACAAUUCCCCAAUGAGCCUGAAGCACACCGAAUGUCCUCUCCACAUCCUUCCUAGCCGCUUCCUGCAUUGUUGCAAAGUGGCUCUGUUUAUUACCAUGCGGUUCGGAUACGGUCUUCACAAACGCUGCCCACUGAGAAUAGAUACCAUUGGCAAGCUUGUAUCCCAUGUUGUACUCUCGACCAUUGACGAUGUAGUUGCACGGCGGUGAUUCCCCAUUGAAAAGCCUCCUAAACACUGGAGAUCAUUGAAGCACGUUGAUGUCGUUGUGAGAACCCGACAUUCCAAAGAAAUUAUGCCAAAUUCAUAAGUCAUGUGAUGCCACCGCUUCUAGUAUGAUGGUGGCCUCUCUGGUGUGACCAUGAUACAUUCCCCGCAAACCUUUGGGGCAGUUCUUCCAUUGACAAUGCAUGCAAUCAAUUGAUCCGAGCAUUCCUGGAAACCCCCUUGCCUCUCCAAUAGCCAACAACUUCUCCGUGUCCUGCGCAUUUGGGUCUCUGAGAUACUCAGGUCCAAACACCUCCACCAUGGUGCGGGCAAACUUGACAGUAGUCUUCAAGCACGUGCUCUUCCCCAUCCUGACCAUCUCAAGAAUGGCAAGUGUAAGCAUCCUCAGAGCAGUUGUGCACUUCUGCUUGGCCGAGAAAGAGAGUUGGCCGCAGCAAUCCCUUGUGAGCUUGAAGUAGUCGUCGUGUGCCUCCACUCCCUUCAUAAUGUGCAAAAAAAUGGUUUCCGCAUGCGAAAACGGUGAUGAAACCAUGGAUCAUCCGGGAAACUAGGUUUGGGAGAAAAGUAGUCCUUGCGGUGUAGCUUGCUCCGGACACCCUGUCCCGGUUAAUCACUCUUCUCCCUUUGAUUGAGCCCUUGAAGUUGAGAAUAUGCUCCACUUGCCAGUUCAUUUCCUCUUGCAUGCUCAUGAGCAUGAUCAUGUCCACUUAUUCGUUUGAAUUUGACGAAUCGAAGAACUCAUCUUGAAUCUGGUCACCUCCGUCGGUCCAUACUCCUUGUCUGACGAAGCAUUGGAAUCCAUUGUUUUCCCUAACAAAAUCACAAAAAUCUGGUCGGACAAUGUGUUAAACACAUCAAGCGCAAUGCGGAGCCAGAGAGUUACCGGACUUACCAUGGCAUCGUCCGGGCCGGCGACGACGUCCCCUGCAGCAAGGACGGGAGGGCUCCUACGGAGCUGGCAACGAAGAGCCUGGGAAUGGCUGCAGAACGGGGGCGACGACGGAGCGCGAGACGGACGACGCGGGGAAGGAAGAAGACAGGAGAUAACAAAUGGAUCCGGCUGGUCUUGGGAUGGAUUUGGUGCAAUUUAAGGUGGGGUCGGGCUGUUGGGUUCGACGUGGCGGGCGCGUCCAUAUCCGCCCCAUAUUUGGGCUGAUAUGAUGGAUGCUGAUACGUCUCUAUCGUAUCUACUUUUCCAAACACUUUUGCCCUUAUUUUGGACUCUAACUUGCAUGAUUGGAAUGGAACUAACCCGGACUGACGUUGUUUUUAGCAGAACUGCCAUAGUGUUAUUUUUGUGUAGAAAUAAAAGUUCUCGGAAUGACCUGAAAAUCCACGGAGCAACUUUUUGGAAUUAAUAAAAAAUAUUGGCGAAAGAAUCAACAUCAGGGGGCCCACACCCUGUCCACGAGGGUGGGGGCGCCCCCUAUGGCGCGCCCCCUGCCUCGUGCCCCCCCCUGAAGCUCCACCGACCUCAACUCCAACUCCAUAUAUUCACAUUCGGGGAGAAAAAAAUCAGAGAGAAAGAUUUAUCGCGUUUUACGAUACGGAGCCGCCGCCAAGUCCUAAACUCUCUCGGGAGGGUUGAUCUGGAGUCCGUUCAGGGCUCCGGAGAGGGGGAUUCGUCGCUGUCGUCAUCAUCAACCAUCCUCCAUCACCAAUUUGAUGAUGCUCAGCGCCGUGCGUGAGUAAUUCCAUCGUAGGCUUGCUGGACGGUGAUGGGUUGGAUGAGAUUUACCAUGUAAUUAAGUUAGUUUUGUUAGGGUUUGAUCCCUAGUAUCCACUAUGUUCUGAGAUUGAUGUUGCUAUGACUUUGCUAUGCUUAAUGCUUGUCACUAGGGCCCGAGUGCCAUGAUUUCAGACCUGAACCUAUUAUGUUUUCAUGAAUAUAUGUGAGUUCUUGAUCCUAUCUUGCAAGUCUAUAGUCACCUAUUAUGUGUUAUGAUCCGUUAACCCCGAAGUGACAAUAAUCGGGAUACUUAUCGGUGAUGACCGUAGUUUGAGGAGUUCAUGUAUUCACUAAGUGUUAAUGCUUUGAUCCGGUACUCUAUUAAAAGGAGGCCUUAAUAUCCCUUAGUUUCCAAUAGGACCCCGCUGCCACGGGAGGGCAGGACAAAAGAUGUCAUGCAAGUUCUUUUCCAUAAGCACGUAUUGUUGGGGAACGUUGCAGAAAACAAAAAUUUUCCUACUCGUUUCACCAAGAUCAUCUAGGAGUUCAUCUAGCAACGAGUGAUUAGAUGCAUCUACAUACCUUUGUAGAUCGCGAGCGGAAGCGUUCAAAAGAACGGUGAUGAUGUAGUCGUACUCGACGUGAUCCAAAUCACCGAUGACCAGCGCCGAACGGACAGCACCUCCGCGUUCAACACACGUACGGAACAGCCACGUCUCCUCCUUCUUGAUCCAGCAAGGGAGGGAGGAGAGGUUGAGGGAGAUGGCACCAGCAGCAGCACGACGGCGUGGUGUUGAUGGAGCUGCAGUACUCCGGCAGAGCUUCGCUAAGCACUAUGGAGGUGGAGGAGGUGUUGGGGAGGGAGAAGGAGGCAACCAAAGGCCAGGGCGUUCAGGUAUGAAGUCCCUCCUCUCCCCCACUAUAUAUAGGGGUGCCAAGGGGGGGUGGCCGGCCCUAGGAGAUCCAAUCUCCUAGGGGGUGCGGCGGCCUAGGGGGGUUUCCCCCCUCCCCCCCAAGGCACCUAGGAGGUGCCUUCCCCUCCUAGGACUCUUCCCCCUCUAAACCCUAGGCGCAUGGGCCUAUGUGGGGCUGGUGCCCUUGGCCCAUUAGGCCAAGGCGCACCCCCUUACAGCCCAUGUGGCCCCCUGGGACAGGUGGACCCACCCGGUGGACCCCCGGGACCCUUCCGGUGGUCCCGGUACAAUACCGAUAACCCCGAAACUUGUCCCGAUGCCCGAAACAGGACUUCCCAUAUAUAAAUCUUUACCUCCGGACCAUUUCGGAACUCCUCGUGACGUCCGGGAUCUCAUCCGGGACUCCGAACAACAUUCGGGUUACUGCAUAUACAUAUCCCUACAACCCUAGCGUAACUGAACCUUAAGUGUGUAGACCCUACGGGUUCGGGAGACAAGCAGACAUGACCGAGACGACUCUCCGGUCAAUAACCAACAGCGGGAUCUGGAUACCCAUGUUGGAUCCCACAUGCUCCACGAUGAUCUCAUCGGAUGAACCACGAUGUCGAUGAUUCUAUCAACCUCGUACGCUAUUCCCUUUGUCUAUCGAUAUGUUACUUGCCCGAGAUUCGAUCGUCGGUAUCCCAAUACCUCGUUCAAUCUCGUUACCGGCAAGUCACUUUACUUGUACCGUAAUGCAUGAUCCCGUGACCAGACACUUGGUCACUCUGAGCUCAUUAUGAUGAUGCAUUACCGAGUGGGCCCAGUGAUACCUCUCCGUCAUACGGAGUGACAAAUCCCAGUCUUGAUCCAUGUCACCCAACAGACACUUUCGGAGAUACCCGUAGUCUACCUUUAUAGUCACCCAGUUACAUUGUGACGUUUGGCAUACCCAAAGCACUCCUACGGUAUCCGGGAGUUACACGAUCUCAUGGUCUAAGGAAAAGAUACUUGACAUUGGAAAACUCUAGCAAACGAACUAUACGAUCUUGUGCUAUGUUUAGGAUUGGGUCUUGUCCAUCACAUCAUUCUCCUAAUGAUGUGAUCUCGUUAUCAAUGACAUCCAGUGUCCAUAGUCAGGAAACCAUGACUAUCUGUUGAUCAACGAGCUAGUCAACUAGAGGCUCACUACGGACAUGUCGGUGUCUGUUAUUCACACAUGUAUUACGAUUUCCGGAUAACACAAUUAUAGCAUGAAUAAAGACAAUUAUCAUGAACAAGGAAAUAUAAUAAUAAUGCUUUUAUUAUUGCCUCUAGGGCAUAUUUCCAACAGUCUCCCACUUGCACUAGAGUCAAUAAUCUAGUUACAUUGUGAUGAAUCGAACACCCAUGGAAUUCUGGUGUUGAUCAUGUUUUGCUCUAGGGAGAGGUUUAGUCAACGGAUCUGCUACAUUCAGGUCCGUAUGCACUUUACAAAUCUCUAUGUCUCCAUCUUGAACAUUUUCACGAAUGGAGUUGAAGCGACGCUUGAUGUGCCUUGUCUUCUUGUGAAACCUGGGCUCCUUGGCAAGUGCAAUAGCGCCAGUGUUGUCACAGAAGAUCUUGAUCGGCCCCGACACAUUGGGUAUGACUCCUAGGUUGGUGAUGAACUCCUUCACCCAUAUUGCUUCAUGUGCUGCCUCCGAGGCUGCCAUGUACUCCGCUUCACAUGUAGAUCCCGCCACGACGCUUUGCUUGCAACUACACCAGCUUACUGCCCCACCAUUCAAAAUAUACACGUAUCCGGUUUGUGACUUAGAGUCAUCGAGAUCUGUGUCGAAGCUAGCGUCGACGUAACCCUUUACGACGAGCUCUUCGUCACCUCCAUAAAUGAGAAACAUUUCCUUAGUCCUUUUCAGGUACUUCAGGAUAUUCUUGACCGCUGUCCAGUGUUCCUUGCCGGGAUUACUUUGGUACCUUCCUACCAAACUUACGGCAAGGUUAACAUCAGGUCUGGUACACAUCAUGGCAUACAUAAUAGAGCCUAUGGCUGAGGCAUAGGGGAUGACGCUCAUCUCUUCUAUAUCUUCUGCCGUGGUCGGACAUUGAGCUGAGCUCAAUUUCAUACCUUGCAACACAGGCAAGAACCCCUUCUUGGAUUGAUCCAUAUUGAACUUCUUCAAUAUCUUAUCAAGGUAUGUGAUUUGUGAAAGACCUAUGAGGCGUCUUGAUCUAUCUCUAUAGAUUUUGAUGCCUAAUAUAUAAGCAGCUUCUCCAAGGUCCUUCAUUGAAAAACUUUUAUUCAAGUAGGCCUUGAUGCUGUCCAAGAGUUCUAUAUCAUUUCCCAUCAAAAGUAUGUCAUCUACAUAUAAUAUGAGAAAUGCUACAGAGCUCCCACUCACUUUCUUGUAAACGCAGGCUUCUCCAUAAGUCUGUGUAAACCCAAACGCUUUGAUCAUCUCAUCAAAGCGAAUGUUCCAACUCCGAGAUGCUUGCACCAGCCCAUAAAUCGAGCGUUGGAGCUUGCACACUUUGUCAGCAUUCUUAGGAUCGACAAAAUCUUCCGGCUGCAUCAUAUACAAUUCUUCCUUAAGGAAACCAUUAAGGAAUGCCGUUUUGACGUCCAUUUGCCAUAUUUCGUAAUCAUAGAAUGCGGCAAUUGCUAACAUGAUUCGGACGGACUUCAGCUUCGCUACCGGUGAGAAAGUCUCAUCGUAGUCAACCCCUUGAACUUGUCGAUAACCCUUAGCGACAAGCCGAGCUUUAUAGAUGGUCACAUUACCAUCCGCGUCUGUCUUCUUCUUAAAGAUCCAUUUAUUUUCUAUGGCUCGCCGCUCAACGGGCAAGUCAGUCAAAGUCCAUACUUUGUUUUCAUACAUGGAUCCUAUCUCGGAUUUCAUGGCUUCUAGCCAUUUGUCGGAAUCCGGUCCCGCCAUCGCUUCUUCAUAGUUCGAAGGUUCGCCGCUGUCUAACAACAUGAUUUCCAAGACAGGGUUGCCGUACCACUCUGGUGCGGAACGUGUCCUUGUGGACCUUCGAAUUUCAGUAGGAGCUUGAUCAGAAGUAUCUUGAUCAUUAUCAUUAACUUCCUCUCUAGUCGGUGCUGGCACCUCAGGAACAUUUUCUUGAGUUGCGCCAUUUUCCGGUUCAAGAGGUGAUACUUCAUCAAGCUCUACUUUCCUCCCACUUACUUCUUUCGAGAGAAACUCUUUCUCCAGAAAGGACCCAUUCUUGGCAACAAAGAUCUUGCCUUCGGAUCUGAGGUAGAAGGUGUACCCAAUAGUUUCUUUUGGGUAUCCUAUGAAGACGCAUUUUUCCGAUUUGGGUUCGAGCUUUUCAGGUUGUAGUUUCUUGACAUAAGCAUCGCAUCCCCAAACUUUUAGAAACGACAGCUUAGGUUUCUUCCCAAACCAUAAUUCAUACGGUGUCGUCUCAACGGAUUUCGACGGAGCCCUAUUUAAAGUGAAUGCGGCAGUCUCUAAAGCAUAGCCCCAAAAAGAAAGUGGUAAAUCGGUAAGAGACAUCAUAGAUCGCACCAUAUCUAACAGAGUGCGAUUACGACGUUCGGACACACCAUUACGCUGAGGUGUUCCAGGCGGCGUGAGUUGUGAAACUAUUCCACAUUUUCUUAAGUGUGCCCCAAACUCGUGACUCAAGUAUUCUCCUCCACGAUCUGAUCGCAGAAACUUGAUUUUCUUGUCACGUUGAUUUUCAACCUCACUCUGAAAUUCCUUGAACUUUUCAAAGGUUUCAGACUUGUGUUUCAUUAAGUAGAUAUACCCAUACCUACUUAAAUCAUCAGUGAGGGUGAGAACAUAACGAUAGCCACCGCGAGCCUCAACACUCAUUGGACCGCACACAUCGGUAUGUAUGAUUUCCAAUAAGUCGGUUGCUCGCUCCAUUGUUCCUGAGAACGGAGUCUUGGUCAUUUUACCCACAAGGCAUGGUUCGCACGUGUCAAAUGAUUCAUAAUCGAGAGACUCUAAAAGUCCAUCAGCAUGGAGCUUCUCCAUGCGUUUGACACCUAUGUGACCAAGGCGGCAGUGCCACAGGUAUGUGGGACUAUCAUUAUCAACCUUACUUCUUUUGGUACUCACAUUAUGAAUAUGUGUAGCAUCACGUUCGAGAUUCAUAAGGAAUAAACCAUUCACCAUAGGAGCAUGACCAUAAAACAUAUCUCUCAUAAAAAUGGAACAACCAUUAUUCUCAGAUUUAAAAGAGUAGCCAUCUCGAAUUAAACGAGAUCCCGAUACAAUGUUCAUGCUCAAAGCUGGCACUAAAUAACAAUUAUUAAGGUUUAAAACUAAUCCCGAAGGGAGAUGCAGAGGUAGCGUGCCGACGGCGAUCACAUUGACCGUGGAACCAUUCCCGACGCGCAUCGUCACCUCGUCCUUUGCCAGUUUCCGCUUAUUCCGCAGCCCCUGCUUUGAGUUACAAAUGUGAGCAACUGCACCGGUAUCAAAUACCCAGGAGCCACUACGGGCACUAGUAAGGUACACAUCAAUUACAUGUAUAUCACAUAUACCUUUUGUUUUGCCGGCCUUCUUAUCCGCUAAGUACUUAGGGCAGUUCCGCUUCCAGUGACCGCUUCCCUUGCAAUAAAAGCACUCAGUCUCGGGCUUGGGUCCAUUCUUUGGCUUCUUCCCGGCAGCUUGCUUGCCGGGCGCGGCAACCUCCUUGCCGUCCUUCUUGAAGUUCUUUUUACCCUUGCCUUUCUUGAACUUAGUGGUUUUAUUGACCAUCAACACUUGAUGUUCCUUCCUGACUUCUACCUCUGCUGAUUUUAGCAUAGCAAAUACUUCAGGAAUGGUCUUUUCCAUCCCUUGCAUAUUGAAGUUCAUCACAAAGCUCUUGUAUCUUGGUGGAAGUGACUGGAGGAUUCUGUCAAUGACCGCAUCAUCCGGGAGAUUAACUCCCAGCUGAGUCAAGCGGUUAUGCAACCCAGACAUAGUGAGUAUGUGCUCACUGACAGAACUGUUUUCCUCCAUCUUACAGCUGAAGAAUUUGUCGGAGACUUCAUAUCUCUCGACCCGGGCAUGAGCUUGGAAAACCAUUUUCAGCUCUUCGAACAUCUCAUAUGCUCCAUGUCUCUCAAAACGCUUUUGGAGCCCCGGCUCUAGGCUGUAAAGCAUGCCGCACUGAACGAGGGAGUAGUCAUCGGAACGUGCCUGCCAAGCGUUCAUAACAUCUUGUUCUGCAGGGAGAACGGGUGCGUCACCAAGCGGCGCUUGUAGGACAUAAUCUUUCUUGGCAGCUAUGAGGAUGAUCCUCAGGUUCCGGACCCAGUCCGUAUAAUUGCUGCCAUCGCCUUUCAGCUUAGUUUUCUCUAGGAACGCGUUGAAGUUGAGGACUACGUUGGCCAUUUGAUCUACAAGACAUAUUGCAAAGAUUUUAGACUAAGUUCAUGAUAAUUAAGUUCAACUAAUCAAAUUAUUAGUGAACUCCCACUUAGAUUAGACAUCCCUCCAGUCAUCUAAGUAUUACAUGAUCCGAGUUAACUAGACCGUGUCCGAUCAUCACGUGAGACGGACUAGUCAACAUCGGUGAACAUCUUCAUGUUGAUCGUAUCUUCUAUACGACUCAUGCUCGACCUUUCGGUCUUCUGUGUUCCGAGGCCAUGUCUGUACAUGCUAGGCUCGUCAAGUCAACCUAAGUGUUUGCAUGUGUAAAUCUGUCUUACACCCGUUGUAUGUGAACGUCUGAAUAAAACACCCGAUCAUCACGUGGUGUUUUGAGACAGCGAACUGUCGCAACGGUGCACAGUUAGGGGGAACACUUCUUGAAAUUAUUGUGAGGGAUCAUCUUAUUUACUACCGUCGUUCUAAGUAAACAAGAUGCAAAACAUGAUAAACAUCACAUGCAAUCAAAUAAUAAACGUGACAUGAUAUGGCCAAUAUCACAUAGCUCCUUUGAUCUCCAUCUUGGGGCUCCAUGAUCAUCUUGUCACCGGCUUGACACCAUGAUCUCCAUCAUCAUGAUCUCCAUCAUCGUGUCUCCAUGAAGUUGCUCGCCAACUAUUACUUCUACUACUAUGGCUAACGCGUUUAGCAAUAAAGUAAAGUAAUUUACAUGGCGUUUCUCGAUGACACGCAGGUCAUUAAAAGAAUAAAGACAACUCCUAUGGCUCCUGCCGGUUGUCAUACUCAUCGACAUGCAAGUCGUGAAUCCUAUUACAAUAGCAUGAACAUCUCAUACAUCACAUAUAGAUCAUUCAUCAUGCAUCACAACUUUGGCCAUAUCAUAUCACAAACCACUUGCUGCAAAAACAAGUUAGACGUCCUCUAAUUGUUGUUGCAAGUUUUACGUGGCUGAAUUAGGGUUCUAGCAAGAACGUCUUCUUACCUACGUUAAAGCCACAACGUGAUUUGUCAACUUCUAUUUACCCUUCAUAAGGACCCUGUUCAUCGAUUCCGCUCCAACUAAAGUAGGAGAGACAGACACCCGCCAGCCACCUUAUGCAACUAGUGCAUGUUAGUCGGUGGAACCGGUCUCACGUAAGCGUACGUGUAAGGUUGGUCCGGGCCGCUUCAUCCCACAAUACCGCUGAAGCAAGAAAGGACUAGUAACGGCAAGAAAGUUGACAAAUCUACGCCCACAACAAAUUGUGUUCUACUCGCGCAAGAAGAACUACGCAUAGACCUAGCUCAUGAUGCCACUGUUGGGGAACGUUGCAGAAAACAAAAAUUUUCCUACUCGUUUCACCAAGAUCAUCUAGGAGUUCAUCUAGCAACGAGUCAUUGGAUGCAUCUACAUACCUUUGUAGAUCACGAGCGGAAGCGUUCAAAAGAACGGUGAUGAUGUAGUCGUACUCGACGUGAUCCAAAUCACCGAUGACCAGCGCCGAACGGACGGCACCUCCGCGUUCAACACACGUACGGGACGGGAGACGUCUCCUCCUUCUUGAUCCAGCAAGGGGGAAGGAGAGGUUGAUGAAGAUCCAGCAGCACGACGGCGUGGUGGUGGAUGCAGGGCGUCACAGCAGCAGGGCUUCGCCGAGACUACGAGGGAGAGACGUAACGGGGGGAGGUGGAGGCGCCAGGGGCUGGUGUAAAAUCCCUCCUCUCCCCCCCACUAUAUAUAGGGGUGCCAGGGGGGCGCCGGCCCUAGUAGAUGGCAUCUACUAGGGGGGGCGGCGGCCAAGGGGAGGUUUCCCUCCCCCCCAAGGCACCUAGGGGUGCCUUCCACCACAUGGACUCUUCCAUGGUGGAAACCCUAGGCGCAUGGGCCUAUAGGGGCUGGUGCCCUUGGCCCAUCUAGGCCAAGGCGCACCCCCUACAGCCCAUGUGCCCCCCCGGGACAGGUGGCCCCACCCGGUGGACCCCCGGGACCCUUCCGGUGGUCCCGGUACAAUACCGAUAACCCCGAAACUUGUCCCGAUGCCCGAAAUAGCACUUCCUAUAUAUAAUUCUUUACCUCCGGACCAUUCCGGAACUCCUCGUGACGUCCGGGAUCUCAUCCGGGACUCCGAACAACAUUCGGGUUUCUGCAUAUACAUAUCUUCAUAACCCUAGCGUCACCGAACAUUACGCUGAGGUGUUCCAGGCGGCGUGAGUUGUGAAACUAUUCCACAUUUUCUUAAGUGUGUGCCAAACUCGUGACUCAAGUAUUCUCCUCCACGAUCUAAUCGUAGAAACUUGAUUUUCCUGUCACGUUGAUUUUCAACCUCACUCUGAAAUUCCUUGAACUUUUCAAAGGUUUCAGACUUGUGUUUCAUUAAGUAGAUAUACCCAUACCUACUUAAAUCAUCAGUGAGGGUGAGAACAUAACGGUAGCCACCGCGAGCCUCAACACUCAUUGGACCGCACACAUCAGUAUGUAUGAUUUCCAAUAAGUCGGUUGCUCACUCCAUUGUUCCUGAGAACGGAGUCUUGGUCAUUUUACCCAUAAGGCAUGGUUCGCAUGUGUCAAAUGAUUCAUAAUCAAGAGACUCUAAAAGUCCAUCAGCAUGGAGCUUCUUCAUGCGUUUGACACCUAUGUGACCAAGGCGGCAGUGCCACAGGUAUGUGGGACUAUCAUUAUCAACCUUACUUCUUUUGGUACUUACAUUAUGAACAUGUGUAGCAUCACGUUCGAGAUUCAUAAAGAAUAAACCAUUCACCAUAGGAGCAUGACCAUAAAACAUAUCUCUCAUAAAAAUGGAACAACCAUUAUUCUCAGAUUUAAAAGAGUAGCCAUCUCGAAUUAAACGAGAUCCCGAUACAAUGUUCAUGCUCAAAGCUGGCACUAAAUAACAAUUAUUAAGGUUUAAAACUAAUCCCGAAGGGAGAUGCAGAGGUAGCGUGCCGACGGCGAUCACAUUGACCUUGGAACCAUUCCCGACGCGCAUCGUCACCUCGUCCUUUGCCAGUUUCCGCUUAUUCCGCAGCCCCUGCUUUGAGUUACAAAUGUGAGCAACUGCACCGGUAUCAAAUACCCAGGAGCUACUACGGGCACUAGUAAGGUACACAUCAAUCACAUGUAUAUCACAUAUACCUUUUGUUUUGCCGGCCUUCUUAUCCGCUAAGUACUUAGGGCAGUUCCGCUUCCAGUGACCGCUUCCCUUGCAAUAAAAGCACUCAGUCUCGGGCUUGGGUCCAUUCUUUGGCUUCUUCCCGGCAGCUUGCUUGCCGGGCGCGGCAACCUCCUUGCCGUCCUUCUUGAAGUUCUUUUUACCCUUGCCUUUCUUGAACUUAGUGGUUUUAUUGACCAUCAACACUUGAUGUUCCUUCCUGACUUCUACCUCUGCUGAUUUUAGCAUAGCAAAUACUUCAGGAAUGGUCUUUUCCAUCCCCUGCAUAUUGAAGUUCAUCACAAAGCUCUUGUAGCUUGGUGGAAGCGACUGGAGGAUUCUGUCAAUGACCGCAUCAUCCGGGAGAUUAACUCCCAGCUGAGUCAAGCGGUUAUGCAACCCAGACAUAGUGAGUAUGUGCUCACUGACAGAACUGUUUUCCUCCAUCUUACAGCUGAAGAAUUUGUCGGAGACUUCAUAUCUCUCGACCCGGGCAUGAGCUUGGAAAACCAUUUUCAGCUCUUCGAACAUCUCAUAUUCUCCAUGUCUCUCAAAACGCUUUUGGAGCCCCGGCUCUAGGCUGUAAAGCAUGCCGCACUGAACGAGGGAGUAGUCAUCGAAACGUGCCUGCCAAGCGUUCAUAACAUCUUGUUCUGCAGGGAGAACGGGUGCGUCACCAAGCAGUGCUUGUAGGACAUAAUCUUUCUUGGCAGCUAUGAGGAUGAUCCUCAGGUUCCGGACCCAGUCCGUAUAGUUGCUGCCAUCGUCUUUCAGCUUGGUUUUCUCUAGGAACGCGUUGAAGUUGAGGACUACGUUGGCCAUUUAAUCUACAAGACAUAUUGUAAAAUAUUUAGACUAAGUUCAUGAUAAUUAAGUUCAAUUAAUCAAAUUAUUAAUGAACUCCCACUUAGAUUAGACAUCCCUCUAGUCAUCUAAGUAUUACAUGAUCCGAGUUAAACUAGACCGUGUCCGAUCAUCACGUGAGACAGACUAGUCAACAUCGGUGAACAUCUUCAUGUUGAUCGUAUCUUCUAUACGACUCAUGCUCGACCUUUCGGUCUUCCGUGUUCCGAGGCCAUGUCUGUACAUGCUAGGCUCGUCAAGUCAACCUAAGUGUUUGCAUGUGUAAAUCUGUCUUACACCCGUUGUAUGUGAACGUCUGAAUAAAACACCCGGUCAUCACGUGGUGUUUUGAAACAGCGAACUGUCGCAACGGUGCACAGUUAGGGGGAACACUUCUUGAAAUUAGUAUGAGGGAUCACCUUAUUUACUACCGUCGUUCUAAGUAAACAAGAUGCAAAACAUGAUAAACAUCACAUGCAAUCAAAUAAUAAACGUGACAUGAUAUGGCCAAUAUCACAUAGCUCCUUUGAUCUCCAUCUUGGGGCUCCAUGAUCAUCUUGUCACCGGCUUGACACCAUGAUCUCCAUCAUCAUGAUCUCCAUCAUCGUGUCUCCAUGAAGUUGCUCGCCAACUAUUACUUCUACUACUAUGGCUAACGCGUUUAGCAAUAAAGUAAAGUAAUUUACAUGGCGUUUCUUGAUGACACGCAGGUCAUAUAAAAGAAUAAAGACAACUCCUAUGGCUCCUGCCGGUUGUCAUACUCAUCGACAUGCAAGUCGUGAAUCCUAUUACAAUAGCAUGAACAUCUCAUACAUCACAUAUAGAUCAUUCAUCAUUCAUCACAACUUUGGCCAUAUCAUAUCACAAACCACUUGCUGCAAAAACAAGUUAGACGUCCUCUAAUUGUUGUUGCAAGUUUUUUACGUGGCUGAAAUAGGGUUCUAGCAAGAACGUUUUCUUACCUACGUUAAAGCCACAAAGUGAUUUGUCAACUUCUAUUUACCCUUCAUAAGGACCCUGUUCAUCGAUUCCGCUCCAACUAAAGUAGGAGAGACAGACACCCGCCAGCCACCUUAUGCAACUAGUGCAUGUUAGUCGGUGGAACCGGUCUCACGUAAGCGUACGUGUAAGGUUGGUCCGGGCCGCUUCAUCCCACAAUACCGCUGAAGCAAGAAAGGACUAGUAACGGCAAGAAAGUUGACAAAUCUACGCCCACAACAAAUUGUGUUCUACUCGCGCAAGAAGAACUACGCAUAGACCUAGCUCAUGAUGCCACUGUUGGGGAACGUUGCAGAAAACAAAAAUUUUCCUACUCGUUUCACCAAGAUCAUCUAGGAGUUCAUCUAGCAACGAGUGAUUAGAUGCAUCUACAUACCUUUGUAGAUCGCGAGCGGAAGCGUUCAAAAGAACGGUGAUGAUGUAGUCGUACUCGACGUGAUCCAAAUCACCGAUGACCAGCGCCGAACGAACAUCACCUCCGCGUUCAACACACGUACGGAACAGCCACGUCUCCUCCUUCUUGAUCCAGCAAGGGAGGGAGGAGAGGUUGAGGGAGAUGGCACCAGCAGCAGCACGACGGCGUGGUGUUGAUGGAGCUGCAGUACUCCGGCAGAGCUUCGCUAAGCACUAUGGAGGUGGAGGAGGUGUUGGGGAGGGAGAAGGAGGCAACCAAAGGCCAGGGCGUUCAGGUAUGAAGUCCCUCCUCUCCCCCACUAUAUAUAGGGGUGCCAAGGGGGGGUGGCCGGCCCUAGGAGAUCCAAUCUCCUAGGGGGUGCGGCGGCCUAGGGGGGUUUCCCUCCCUCCCAAGGCACCUAGGAGGUGCCUUCCCCUCCUAGGACUCUUCCCCCUCUAAACCCUAGGCGCAUGGGCCUAUGUGGGGCUGGUGCCCUUGGCCCAUUAGGCCAAGGCGCACCCCCUUACAGCCCAUGUGGCCCCCCGGGACAGGUGGACCCACCCGGUGGACCCCCGGGACCCUUCCGGUGGUCCCGGUACAAUACCGAUAACCCCGAAACUUGCCCCGAUGCCCGAAACAGGACUUCCCAUAUAUAAAUCUUUACCUCCGGACCAUUCCGGAACUCCUCGUGACGUCCGGGAUCUCAUCCGGGACUCCGAACAACAUUCGGGUUACUGCAUAUACAUAUCCCUACAACCCUAGCGUAACUGAACCUUAAGUGUGUAUACCCUACGGGUUCGGGAGACAAGCAGACAUGACCGAGACGACUCUCCGAUCAAUAACCAACAGCGGGAUCUGGAUACCCAUGUUGGCUCCCACAUGCUCCACGAUGAUCUCAUCGGAUGAACCACGAUGUCGAGGAUUCUAUCAACCCCGUACGCUAUUCCCUUUGUCUAUCGAUAUGUUACUUGCCCGAGAUUCGAUCAUCGGUAUCCCAAUACCUCGUUCAAUCUCGUUACCGGCAAGUCACUUUACUCGUACCGUAAUGCAUGAUCCCGUGACCAGACACUUGGUCACUCUGAGCUCAUUAUGAUGAUGCAUUACCGAGUGGGCCCAGUGAUACCUCUCCGUCAUACGGAGUGACAAAUCCCAGUCUUGAUCCAUGUCACCCAACAGACACUUUCGGAGAUACCCGUAGUCUACCUUUAUAGUCACCCAGUUACGUUGUGACGUUUGGCAUACCCAAAGCACUCCUACGGUAUCCGGGAGUUACACGAUCUCAUGGUCUAAGGAAAAGAUACUUGACAUUGGAAAACUCUAGCAAACGAACUAUACGAUCUUGUGCUAUGUUUAGGAUUGGGUCUUGUCCAUCACAUCAUUCUCCUAAUGAUGUGAUCUCGUUAUCAAUGACAUCCAGUGUCCAUAGUCAGGAAACCAUGACUAUCUGUUGAUCAACGAGCUAGUCAACUAGAGGCUCACUAGGGACAUGUCGGUGUCUGUUAUUCACACAUGUAUUACGAUUUCCGGAUAACACAAUUAUAGCAUGAAUAAAGACAAUUAUCAUGAACAAGGAAAUAUAAUAAUAAUGCUUUUAUUAUUGCCUCUAGGGCAUAUUUCCAACACGUAUGACUAUAUUCGGAAUACAUGCCUACAUUACAUUGAUGAAUUGGAGCUAGUUCUAUGUCAUCCUACGUUAUAACUAUUACAUGAGGAAUCACAUCCGAUAUAAUUAUCCAUCACUGAUCCAAUGCCUACGAGCUUUUCACAUAUUGCUCUUUGCUUAGUUACUUUACCGUUGCCACUGUUACAAUUACUACAAAACUGCUACUGUUACUUUUGCUACUGUUACCGUUACUUCCAUACUACCUUGCUACUAAAUAUUUUGCUGCAGAUAUUAAGUUAUCCAGGUGUGGUUGAAUUGACAACUCAACUGCUAAUACUUGAGAAUAUUAUUUGGCUCCCCUUAUGUCGAAUCAAUAAAUUUGGGUUGAAUACUCUACCCUUGAAAACUGUUGCGAUCUCCUAUACUUGUGGGUUAUCAAGACUAUUUUCUGGCACCGUUGCCGGGGAGCAUAGCUCUAUUCUUUGAGUCACUUGGGACUUAUAUCUGCUGAUCACUAUGAGGAACUUGAAAGACGAAAGAACUAAAAUUUAUCCCUCAACUACGAGGGGAGGUAAGGAACUGCCAUCUAGCUCUGCACUUGAUUCUCCAUCUGUUAUGAGCAAGCUUGCAACACCUAAACCUACUCCUGCUAUUAAUUCUAACAUGUCGCAUGUUACUGAUGAUGCCACUUCUGCUAUGCAUGAUACUUAUGAUGAAACUACUUAUAUGCCUGAUAAUACUGUGCUAUUAGGUGAAUUUCUUGAUGAACAACUUUCUAGGGCUAGAGAGGAUGAAAUAAUUAAAACUGAUAUUAUUGAUGAAAGUGAUGAUGAAGAUUCUCCCCCUAGAUAUGAAUUGCAUGUUGUUCCUGAGGGUUAUGUUAUGGAUGAAGAAACUGCUAGAGAUUUUCUUGCUUGCAAUGAUAGAUCUGAUCUUAAGAAGUUAUUAGCUAAGCUAAAACAAAAGUCUCUUAAUGCUAGAAUGAAAUAUGACCCUGCUUUUGCUACUUCACCUAUCUGUGUUACUGAUAAGGAUUAUGAUUUCACUAUCGAUCCAGAGAUAAUUACUUUGGUUGAAUCUGAUCCUUUUUAUGGCAAUGAAUCUGAAACUGUUGUGGCACAUCUUACUAAAUUGAAUGAUAUAGCCACCCUGUUCACUAAUGAUGAGAAAUCUUGCUACUACUAUAUCCUCAAAAUAUUUCCGUUCUCAUUAAAGGGUGAUGCUAAAACUUGGAUUAAUUCUCUUGAUCCUGGUUGUGUGCGUAGUCCCCAGGAUAUGAUUUAUUACUUCUCUGCUAAAUAUUUCCCUGCUCAUAAGAAACAAGCUGCUUUAAGGGAAAUAUAUAAUUUUGUGCAAAUUGAAGAAGAGAGUCUCCCACAAGCUUGGAAGAGGCUUUUCCGAUUACUUAAUGCUUUGCCUGAUCAUCCUCUUAAGAAAAAUGAAAUACUUGACACCUUUUAUAAUGGACUAACCGAUGCUUCCAGAGACCACCUGGAUAUUGUAAGUGCAUCUAGUGCCCCUUAGUGAUUUUGGUGUAUUGAAGACUUAUAGGUUAAGUAACUGAUGCGUUUGUGAGUGUACAUAGGUCUAUAAGUCUAGGAGGAGUUUGAUAUUUACAGAGAAAGUCGACCCCUAAAAAUGAAGUUCUUCGACUGAAGACUUUGAUAUUCUGAAGACUUUGAAAGUGAAGAAAUUGGUGUGACCUUGAAGACUUGGUAUUCACUUGAGGAACAUGAAGCGUGAAGACUUUUGUUUUCGUAGUUUCAUUUUCUCUUUCUUGAGUCAUAGGAAACACCGUACUGUUAAAGGGGGUCGAGGAAAUACUAAGGAAAAAUUUCCAUGUGAUGCUCAACUCAAAAUCCUACACCUACCAAUCCUUUCGAGUGAAGCCAUUGGAAAUCUCAUACAGUUCAGUCAAAUUCUUCAGUGACAGAGACGCAGUUCUUCUGGUCACUGAUGACUUUGGUCUGACUGAGGAGUUAGGAAUUCGCCAGUGCGAAUUGCCUACACAGUGAGGAACAUGAUAGCCCUGAGGACUUUGAGAGUCAAAUUUCCGACCGUUGCUGUGCUGCGCGCCGGCGGACCAAAAUAUCUUAUCCACCUAACGGUCAUAUCAUUGAAGGGCAUUUAUGUCUUAUCAUGUCGGGCUGCUCCCUAGGCUAUAAAUAGCCGCCCCCUACAACCACUAGUUGGUUGGCUGCUCCGAGAGAACUUGACACUUGUCAUUUGAGAGCAACCCAUCCUCCGAGGACUUUGAGCGAAAAUCAUCAAGUGAGGAAAAUCCCAAAACCAAACCCCCACAAACCCAAAGUGAUUGAGCAUCACUGAAGAAAUCGAUCCUGCGUGGAUCCGACGCUUGUUACCUUUGAAGAUUGUGCUUCUUCCAGACGGUUAGGCGUCAAGGUCUAGAGCAUCCAAGAGGAAUUGUGGAUCGCCGAGUGACCAAGUCUGUGAAGGUUUGGAAGUCACCUGAAGACUUACCACGAGUGAUUGGACAAGGCCUGCGUGGUCUUAGUUCAAGGAGAAUACGGUGAGGACUGGGUGUCCUGAGUUGCGGCUCAGAGACUGGGUGUCCGGGACUGUGUGUCCUCGAGUUUAAAUACUCAGCCGCUCCAACCAGACGUACAACUGAGACAGCAGUUGGAACUGGUCUACCAAAUCAUUGUCUUCACCAACUGACUGGUUCUAUUUCCUCAACUCAUUCAUUUCCUCAUUCUGUGUUGCAUGUUGUUCAUAUCUGUGCUUGAAGACUUUGACUGAAGACUUUCACAAAUUCCUCAGUUCAAUUUCUUCAGUCUGUUUGUCUUCAUCUUGUUAUCCUGUGUUUACGCUUUCCGUACUCUAUUCUAGUCUUCAUUUCAUCAUGCUGACUAUGUGUGUAUCCUGUUAUGUUUACUUCUGAGUACAUAUUCCGCUGCAAGUAGUUCUUUGCUAAGGAAUUUCCUCACCGGCAAAUUCCUCAGUGAAGAAUUCAUAAAAAUCACCUAUUCACCCCCCCUCUAGUCGAUAUAACGCACUUUCAAUUGGUAUCAGAGCAAGGUACUCCCUUGUUCUGUGUGAUUUUGGUUUAACCGCCUGGAGUUUUUAGUUAUGUCGACCGCAGGUAUGAUCAAGGUCUCGGCUGGGUGUCCUACCUUUGAUGGAACGGACUACCCCUACUGGAAGAACAAGAUGCGAAUGCAUCUUGAGGCAAUUGACAAUGAUCUCUGGUAUGUUGUGGAAAAUGGUGUCCCCUCUGUCACUGAAACACUGACCGCUACCGAUGUGAAGAGAUUCAAACAACUCGAUUCUCAAGCGAAGAAUAUCAUCUGUGGCCAUCUGAGAAAAGGACAGUAUGGAAGAGUGAGUGCUUUGGAAACUGCUAAGCUUAUCUGGGAUAGGCUGUCCAAAGUAAAUGAAGGAGUCUCAAGUCAGCGUGACUCUCGAGUCGAUGUUCUUCGGAAUCUCUUCAACCGCUUCAAAAGACUCGACAACGAAAAUGUCCAACAAACCUUUGAUCGCCUCACUGACAUCUCAAAUGAGCUUCAAGCCCUCGGUGCCACUGACAUCACUGAUCAUGAAGUUGUGAAGAAACUGCUAAGAUCGCUUGAUUCCUCAUUUGAUACUCUGGGACUGAUGAUACAAGAACGUGCUGACUACAAGUCGCUUGAUCCUGCUGAUAUCCUCGAAAGGCUUAACACUCACGAGUUCCAGCUUGCUGAAAAGAGAGAUAUCUAUGGCUCAAACUAUGGCAAACCACGUGCCCUGAAGGCUAAGGUUGUGUCUGACUCUGAAUGUGAGGAUUCUGGUAGUAGCCUUGGUGAUCCUGAAGAACUGAGCCAGGAUCUAGCUCUGCUUGUGAAGAAAUUCCAGAAGUUCACAAGACGUGGUCGCUUUGGAAAACCCUCAAGAGGAAAUGAUUCUUCAUCCAGUGACUACAAGAGAAGACUUUGCCACAAAUGCAAAAGGCCUGGUCACUAUAUUCAAGAUUGUCCUCAGUGGGAAAAGGAAAUGAAGAAGAAGAAAUACAAGGAUUAUAGUUCUGAUGAUAUGAAGAAGAAGAAGAAAUCGUCAAAAUCUUCGUCAUCAAAACCCUCAAAAUCUUCAUCUCACAAGAAGGGCAACUCCAAGAAAGCUCGGGCAUUCAUUGGCAAGGAAAUGGACUCUGAAGCUGAAUCUGAGGAAAAUGAUGAAGAGGAGGAGUCUGAAGAAUCUGAGUCUGGUGUGACGAGUCUGGCCGUUGCUACUGCUUUCGUCAGCAAGUCCAUCUUCAACACUGAAGAAACUGACUCCACCAACAAGCCUGAUGAAGAUAAUGAUGGCUACGCUCCCACCUAUUGCUUCAUGGCAAAAGGAGCUAAGGUACUCAAAUACAACUCCUCUGAUUCUAGUGAAAAUGAAUCUGAUGAGGAUCUUAAGCCUAGCUACUCUAAACUUGCUAAAAUUGCUGUGAAACAACAAAGGGCUCUUGAAAAGGUUCAAAACAUGCUAGAUAAAAGUGAUGAUAUGUUGGGUGAAGAAAUGGAUUGCACUAAAGCCUUGACUGAGAAUCUUCAGAGACUUCAGUCUAGGUAUGAUAAUCUUCAAGGUCAUCAUAACUCUCUCUUGUCUGAUCAUGAGAAACUUUCAUAUGAAUUUCUUCAAGAGAAGCAAGAUCAUGAGAAGCUUCUCUCUUGAAGCUCUUCAAAGAAAGGAAGAUCUUGAAAAGCUAAGAGUGUGUUAUGAAGAUCUUCUGAAGGAGCGCGAUUCAUUACUAGCUCAACAAAUCAGCGCUUCUCAGGAAGAAUUUGUUCCUCCAUGCUUAAAGUGCAUUGAACGUGAAUCUGCUAAUUCUUCACCUGAAUGUUCAAAUUCUUCAACUGUUACAAAUUCUUCAUCUGCCUCUGCUAUCACUAAUUCCUCAUCUGAGGACAUUGCUAGUAUCACUGACAAUGCAGGGCUGAAGGAAUUGUACAUGACAGGCAUGUACAAAAGCCUCAAAGGGCAUCAGACACUUUGUGAUGUGCUCAAAAAGCAGAUCCUCAACAGAAACCCUAGGAAAGAGGGUAUUGCCUUUGAGAGGAAACUCAAUGCCGAUGGAACAUAUUGGAAGCCCGAGCAGUAUCCCAAAACCUCAUGGGUUGCUGCAAAGGGACCUCCAGUUGAUCCAUCUAAUUUAUCUGGCUUUACAUGUGAAUCUCCUCAUUCUUCUGAUGAGUCAUUUGACUCCAACUAUAAACUGUUCAAAAAUCAGAAUGGUGAAGUAUUUGCUAGAUAUGUUGGCACUAACUGCAGGAACGGUUCCCCUAUGAAGAAAAUAUGGGUUCCCAAAAGCUGUGUUGAAAGUCUUCAGGUGAAUGUCCUCAUGACACCACCUGUGAAGAACAGGAACCCCAGAUCAAAUUCUUCAUAUGGACCAAACUCUUUAUAUGGAUCCAAGUCCUCAUAUGGACCAAAUUCUUCACGAGGAUCAAAUUCCUCAACUGGAUCAAAGUCCUCAUAUGAUUAUCAUCGUGCUAACAAAUCUGUCUCGCAGGGUAAAGCUAAGAGCUAUGAAUAUGUGCAUUAUUCUUCAAACCAUUAUGUUCAUAAGUCCUCGAAGAAUCACUCUGCUUAUUCAUAUGCUUACCCUAACCCCUCCUAUGCUAAGCGAAACGGUUUGGCAUCUUUGCCACCUUUCUCACAUGGUGCUCGCAAGAUGAUGAACUCUUUGCCACCCCUCCAGAUGUGGGGGUGAAGAAAAAGAACUAAUCUCUUCUGCAGGGUCAGGUCUCCAGACGUGCUCUAACGUCUGAAGAAUUUGCUGGGGACCUGACAAAAUGCCUGAAAGGACGCAGGUGAAUCAUGAUGAAAUGAACUUUCAUUUCACACGUCCUCAUACUGCUAUAUCUGUUUACUGCUUGAUGAAAGACAUCUGAUGAACUUGAUAUCAUAUUCUUCACUGAUGAAGCAUAUGAGAUUGUAAGUUACACUAAUUCAUCUGCAGGAUGAUCAACCCAAAACCACUGAAUGGGUCCUCGAUAGUGGAUGUACAAAUCACAUGACUUAUGGCAAGAAUCUAUUGAUGGAUGCUCCCUUAUCACCAUCACCUCUGAAGCAUAUCAUCUUUGCUGACAAAGGCAAAAGUCAGGUAUUGGGUCUUGGUAAGGUUGCUAUUUCUAAGGAUAAGCACAUGGACAAAGUCAUGCUUGUUGAGUCCUUAGGAUACAAUCUCAUGUCAGUCUCAAUGCUUUGUGAUCUUGAAAUGGUUGUUGUCUUUGGCAAAUAUCGCUGUGUUGUGAUUAUGGAAGCUGACAAUUCCAAAGUCUUCGAAGGCUUUGGGAGAGGAGAUCUGUAUAUUGUUGAUUUCUCUACAGGACCACAACCAGCCGUGUGUCUACUUGCAAAAGCUUCAGAAGGCUGGCUAUGGCAUCGACGACUUGGUCAUGCAGGCAUGAGGAAUUUGAACACGCUUGCGAAGAAGAAGCAUGUCAUUGGCAUUGAGAAUGUCAAAUUCCUCAAGGAUCACUUAUGCGGAGCAUGUGAAGCCGGAAAAAUGACCAAGGCCAAGCAUCCAGCGAAGACUAUCAUGACCACUACCCGUCCAUUUGAAUUGCUUCACAUGGACCUCUUUGGACCUAACCAUUAUUCAACAGUCACUAAUGAUGCAUCUCUAUAUGGUUUUGUCAUUGUUGAUGAUUAUUCUCGAUAUACAUGGGUACACAUUAUUACUUACAAACAUGAAGUGCAGGAAGUCUUCAAACGAUUUUCCUCGAGGGCUUCAACCAACUUUGGUGUGAAGAUCAAGCAUAUCAGAAGUGACAAUGGAACUGAGUUCAAGAAUUCUGGUCUUGAUGCCUAUCUUGAUGAACUUGGUAUUACUCAUGAAUUAUCUGCUCCCUAUACUCCUCAUCAGAAUGGCGUCGUGGAGCGCAAGAACAGAACUCUUGUUGAGAUGGCUCGCACUAUGCUUGAUGAAUACAAAACGCCUCAGCGCUUUUGGAUUGAUGCAAUUGAUACUGCCUGCCACAUCAUCAACAGAGUAUAUCUUCACAAAUUCUUCAAGAAGACUGCCUAUGAACUCCUCACUGACAAGAAACCCAAUGUGAGUUAUUUCAAAGUCUUCGGUGCUAAAUGUUGGAUUAGAGAUCCUCACCACAACUCUAAAUUUGCACCGAAAGCACAUGAAGGUUUUAUGCUUGGUUACGGAAAGGACUCGCACACCUAUAGAGUCUUCAACAUUGUUCUUCACAAGAUUGUUGACACUGUAGAUGUGUGGUUCGAUGAAACUAAUGGCUCGCAAAGAGAGCACCUACCUUCUGUGUUAGAUGAACCAGCACCUGAGGAUGCUAUCAAGCUCAAGGCAACUGAGGAUGUCAUUCCUACUGAAGAAUCUGCUGAAGAAUUCAUUCCUGUUCAUGAAGAACGUCGAGCUGAUGCGCCUGAAGAACAUGAUGAGGAAAAUGGUGCUGAGGAAAAUGCUGAUCAAAAUCCUCAGCGACAACCAACUCAUCCACGCGUUGCAAAAGAAGUGCAAGUGGAGAAGAUCAUCGAUGACAUUAGCGCACCAGGUCCUCUCACACGCUCAAAAGCCUCACACUUAUCUAACUUUUGUGGGCACUAUGCUUUUGUCUCUAUCUCAGAGCCCACCAAGGUAGAUGAAGCAUUUCUGGAGCCGGAGUGGAUUUAGGCUAUGCAAGAAGAAUUAAAUCAGUUCGAGUUGAACAAUGUCUGGGAAUUGGUCAAUCGCCCAGAUCCUCGCAAGCAUAAUAUCAUUGGCACAAAGUGGAUCUACCGCAACAAGCAAGAUGAAAAUGGCCUUGUGGUGAGGAAUAAGGCACGACUAGUAGCUCAAGGCUACACACAGGUUGAAGGAAUUGAUUUCGAUGAAACUUUUGCACCUGUUGCUAGACUUCAAGCUAUUCGCAUUUUACUUGCCUAUGCUAACCAUCAUGAUAUCAUCUUAUAUCAAAUGGAUGUGAAAAGUGCAUUCCUCAAUGGUAAGCUUGAGGAAGAAGUAUAUGUUGCUCAACCCCCAGGUUUUGAAGAUCCCAAGAAUCCUGACAAAGUCUUCAGACUCAAUAAGGCCCUCUAUGGCCUCAAGCAAGCCCCUCGGGCGUGGUAUGACACAUUGAAGGAAUUCUUCGUGAAGAAUGGCUUCACACCCGGUUCACUUGACCCUACUCUUUUUACUAAAUCAUAUGAUGGUGAACUGUUUGUGUGCCAAAUAUAUGUUGAUGAUAUUAUCUUUGGCUGUACUAACCAACGAUAUAGUGAUGAAUUUGCCUAUAUGAUGAGUGAAGAAUAUCAAAUGUCUAUGAUGGGAGAGUUUAAAUUCUUCCUAGGUCUUCAAAUCCGUCAGCAGCGCAAUGGCAUAUUCAUAUCUCAGGAGAAAUACCUCAAAGAUGUACUGAGGAAAUUCGGCAUGCAAGAUUGCAAAGGCGUCAAAAUUCCUAUGCCCACAAAUGGCCAUCUAUGCACUGAUGAAAAUGGUAUUGAUUUCGAUCACAAGGUAUACCGCUCCAUGAUUGGUUCUUUAUUGUACUUAUGUGCAUCUAGGCCAGAUAUAAUGCUUAGUGUUUGCAUGUGUGCCCGAUUUCAAGCUGCACCGAAGGAAUCACACCAUAAGGCUGUGAAGCAUAUUCUUCGAUAUCUAGCUCACACACCAACACUAGGAUUAUGGUACCCCAAGGGCUCUGCUUUUGAUCUCAUUGGAUAUUCUGACUCUGACUAUGCUGGUGAUCGUGUGGACCACAAGUCAACAUCUGGCACUUGUCAUUUCCUCGGACGAUCUUUGGUCUGUUGGUCCUCGAAGAAACGGAACUGUGUAUCACUGUCUACUGCUGAAGCUGAAUACAUUGCUGCUGGCUCAUGAUGUGCUCAACUGCUUUGGAUGAAGCAAACCCUCAAGGACUAUGGCGUCAACGUGAAGAAUGUGCCUCUCCUCUGCGACAAUGAGAGUGCCAUCAAGAUUGCUCACAACCCAGUUCAGCACUCGAAGACUAAGCACAUCCAGAUUCGUCAUCAUUUUCUUCGUGAUCAUGUGUUGAAGGGCGAUAUCUCCAUCGAGCAUGUGAAGACUGAAGAACAGCUGGCUGAUAUCUUCACUAAGCCCUUGGAUGAGAAGAGAUUUAGCAAGUUGCGGUGUGAGCUAAAUAUCUUAGAAUCUUCGAAUAUUCUUUGAAAAGGACACACAUCCUAACCCUUAUGCAUAAUUGAUGACUUAGAUGUGCAACACAUGAAGAAACGUUUUUCCUCAAUCAAUGAAGAAUAACAUUCUAAGUGUGAAGAAAUUAAUGAAGAAUUUGAUUCUCAGAACCCUACGACAAUUGUACGCGGUGUCUGAAAUCAUCAUUCUUAUACGGUGGGCUACGCCACCACAAAAGUUGAAAAUCUUCAAUUUGAGUUUUUCCUCAUUUUUGAAAUUCCUCAGUUUUUAAAAUUCUUCAACUUUGCAAAAUCUUCAAUGUUUCCGUCGUUGUUCUUCAUUGGCUAUAUAUAUAUAUAAGAGUUUAUGUCCUCUACAGCAUUCACUUAUUGCUAAUUCUUCAAGUUGCUAUUUCUGCUAAGUGAAUGUGAUCGGACCCUCCCCCCUCUAUGCUAUACUCAAUCCAAUCUAUUCACAAAUUCUUCAUGUGCGUUCUGAUUGAAACUCGUUCAAAGUCUUCACUGUGUCCUUGACGGCUGAAGAAAUUGCGAACAAAAUUUUUAAACAAAUCUUAUCCAAGUUUUCGGUUUUACCGCUCAAACCGUUCCGCAUCCCACGAUGCAUUAGUUUAAUCACCCACGAUCUUACACAAUCUCAUCUGCACAGUACGUGGGUGACACAUGUCGCGUAAAGAAGAAAGGGCAGGGGCAUGUUCGUCCCAAAAUCUUCGGGCGAACAGUUUUCACAGUGGCUAUAAAUACCCCUCUCCCUUCCUUACUUCAUUUACUCUGCUCGGUCGAUGUCUCUCGCUCGAGCUCUCCUCAAACCCUAGCGCCGCCGCUACUCCAUCGCCGCCGGUGAGGAAGAGCUUCACUGCCUCGACCUCAUCGCCGUCGUACUCGCGCCGACCGCGGAAUUCUUCACUCCGCCGCCGCCGUAGCUGUCUCCCUCUGCCAAGUUAGGGCGUGGGAGAUCUAACGUGACGAACUUCACUACAGUUCAUCUCUGUUCGUCGUGUUCUUCAGUUCGAGUAAUUAAAAGUCACUUUUAUUACUCGCGUUGAUUCUCAAAUCUUUCUGAAAAUAUUCAUAGGUGUUUUUGUUCUUCAUAUCUUCACAUAUGAACACCUCACACACUGUAUACUCUUGAUUUAUCUCUCUAAGCAUUCAUUUCUUCAAGAUUCCUCAAUUGUGCGGAUUUUCAAUCUGUACAACUCUGGAACCUGAGACAAAACGCUUAGUGAAAUUCCUCAAGGCUCAACUGGUGAAAUUCCUCAAAACUUGUUCUUUUGAAAAAUCAUCUGAGAACGCAUAUGACCUCUCCAAAUUCCUCGCACCUACACUCUGUUCAUAGGUACUCAUGUCCGCUGCUGAAUCACUAGGUUCUCAUCAACUUAACUCAUUUGCAGCGUUCCUCGAAGAAAAACUGCAUACUUCUUCAGAGUGCUCUAUUGUUCAAAUUCCUCAUCUGAAGAAAAUGGCAGAAGGCAAGAGACCGCAGAAGGGAGGAAAGAAACCGGAGGUCAUGACUGCCUUUGAGAUUCCUGAUGAAAUAUACAAAGAUUACUGCACACCUGAUGAAUCCAAGUUUGGCAAGGAGACCAAAAAUCAGCGCAAAGUGCGCAUUCAAAGGAUAGAAAGAAGAUGGGCACGAGAAUGGAGGGAAUAUCGCUAUGUUACACCCAAGUACAUGAGGAAAUUCGCGUUAAACCCUCCAUGCCCAAGAGCUCCAUUGGCACCUGGCCAAGUCGCUGAUCCCACCAGCAUCAAGCGUGGUGAAGACUUUCCUGAAGAGUGGUCCAGAUGCCAAGCCAAAUUGGCAAGACAGGCCAAGGAGGCAGUAAGGAAAUUCAAUGAGGAUUCUGCCGCUGCUGCUGCCGCUGAACCCUCGGUCAAGCCGAGGAAAUCAAUGCCAAAGAAGCCUGCUCGCAAGCCAAGUGCUUCACCGUCAGCGCCCUCACGGCCCAGUUCCUCAGCUGCGCCCUCACGGCAAAUUCCUCAGACUGCUGCUGCUCAUUCAAAAUCCUCAGCAGCUCCCUCCAAGUCCUCAACUCCUGUGCAUCUGGCUACAUGUCAAAGGACUCAGGGUUUCUCAAUUGCCUCGGGUGUCUCAGCAAGUUCCUCAGCUGCACCAAUGUCCUCAACAGGCCCCACUCUGCUGAAGACAAAAGCAACAGUUGGACGCGGUCCUCGGCCAAGUCCAAAGAAGAAACAGGUUGCAUUCAAUGUUCCCUCUGAUGAUGAAGCCUCUGAUGAAGAACUUGCAGAAAUCAUCAGAGACAGACUGACCAAGGCCGCUAGAGCCAAAAGAACAAAUGUGCCUCUGCUUUUGGAUCCGAAGAAGAUCCUUGAUUUCAUCGACCUAUGGCAUCAGGAUCCAAACACUCCCAUACCGGAUCUGCCACUGACUCCUGGUCAAAGUCAUAUGCUGAACCAUUUCAUCGCUAAAGAGAAAUGGAAAUUUGAAAAGGCUCGUGAAUUAAAGAGAACGCAAGCCAGAAAGGAGAAGCUUCUGAGGAAGAAUAUCGUCAACUUGACUCCUGAAGAACUUCUCAAAGCUCAAUCUGAAAUCCAAGCCCUCAGCAAGGAUUUCGAUGCUUACAAUGCUGAUUGGCAAGGAGCCAAGGUGAGAUUCGUCAAUUUGACAAAGAAAAUGACAACUGUUGCAGCCCCAUCGCAACAAGAAAAUCCUCAGGCUGAAGACUCUGCUCAGCCUGCUGAAGAACAUGCCAGCACUGCUGAUGACUUUCAGCGUGCUGAUGAGAACACAAGUUCCAGGGCUGAUGACUCCAUCCCAGCCGCUGAAGAAAUUCCCAGGGCAUCCACUAGUGGUGCGCCUGAAGAAUCUGAAGAAAACAGGGCAACUGCACCAGUUGCACCUGAAGAAACUGUACCACAAUCCUCAGCUCCUCCUGCGCCAACAACAACUCCAAUUCUUCCUUCAGCUUAUGAAGUGAAGAAGACAAAGGCUGCAGAACGAGCUGCAGUGAAGAAGAGGAAGGCAUCAGCUGCGUCAAAUUCUUCGGCUGCGAAGAAAAUGAAGCCAAUGACCAGCUCACUUGAAAAUCCUAUUGAUGCCAUUCCCAUCUCCUCCAUGUCGUCUAAGGAAAUUGUUCCUUAUGGAUAAGAUUACACGAUCCCAAGUGGAUCUGAUGAAGAAAAUCAAUCUGUUGCUACCUCAGAAUAGCUUGAUGAAGAAAUUGAAGUGGAAGCUUUCCCUUCAACCCCAGUCGUUUCCUCACCCGUGCCUCAGUUCACAGCUGAAGAGGCAGGUGUUGAGGAAAUUGAAAAAGAAGACGAAGACGUGGAUAUUGGGUGCACUACACCAGUGAUGAACGAUGACUUUUGGGAAAGUCAGCAUCCCAAUACUCCUCUCUUCACUCCGAUUCUACAAGUUCCUCUGUCCCCGGCUACAACUGUUCAAAUGGGCUCUGAAGAAACUCAUCCCGCAUCGUCUGUCAAUGAAGAGAUUCCAGCCACUAGCGCUGAAGAACCCACUGCUGAUCCUCAAACUGCACAAGGAGAGGAACCAGAAAUUCCUCAGCCUGAAGAACCUAAGAUCGCGAUUCCUGAAGUUGUGCUGCAAAUCACUGAUAUUCCUCUGCCCAAACCGAAGAAUCCGUUCUCGAGCAAGCAAAAAUUCAAGGCUGAAGACUUCUUUUCUGAGCAUGUGUUCUUCACUGCUUAUAAUCCUUAUGACUCUGCUCGUAUGAGGAAAAGACGCUUCUGGACUCCUACUCAAGCAAACUUCUAUUCCUCAGUACUGUUUGACAAGGACAAGAUCUUCGACCAUGAGCAUAUUCCUCAUGUGGAUAUGGAAUCACUGUCGUGCUUCGAGCCAGUACUCCGUGUUCUUCAUGAUGCACGGCUGCUGAAUUUCUGCACUGAUAUCUGCGACUGGAAUGAAGAACUCAUUCUUCAGUUCUAUGCCACCCUGCACAUCACCGGAGAUGCUGAAGAUAUCAACUCAUGGGUACUGGAUUGGAUGACAGAGAAUACUCACUACAAGGCACCAGCAACUGAAUUGCUUCGUGUCCUUCCUCUUGAUCCUCCCCAUGAAACUGCAGGUUGCAUCUACAAUGACCACGAACUGUCUGAUCACUUUAUGCAAGUGCUCAUGAAACCGUUGAAGCCAGGACAAGCCCCUCGAACCAAAUUCCUCGUCAAGGAUUUGCUGUAUGUGCCUCGGACCGUCUAUAGAAUCUUGACGAAGAUAAUGAGUCCCAUCAAAGGCCACGACUCAAAUGAAGAAGAUGUCGUUGGCAUCAUGAAGAACAUGCUUUUCAAUAUCAUUCAUGGCGUUCCUGUCAAUUUCCAUGAUUUCUUCAUGAGGACUCUGACCAAUGUUGCAAUGUCACCUUUUGAGCUGAAGCCAUAUGCACCUUGGAUUAUGAGAUUCAUAAGGGCAAGAUCUUCACUGAACUACAAGGCUGACACUUUGAAUCAUGGCAGCUACUUGCCGCCCAUUGAAGUCCUCAAGCGACCAGUUUCAUCAUCUGAUGAUAAGGGCAAGGCAGCAUCUGUGAUUGAUGAAGGCACUCGUCCAUUGGAUGGUCAAUUUCGCAAGGCUGCAUCUUACUCCACCAAUGACGAUUCUGCAACGCAUGACACUGCCGCAAAUACCUCAACCAAGCAACAGCCUCAAGCUACUGCACCCAGGGUGAUGACUGAUCGUGAGUUACUCCUCAGUCUUCAUCAGAAGGUUGAUCGCAAUCAGAAAUGGGUGAAGCGCCAAUUUGCUGCAAUUCUUCACAACAUGACCUCAACACAUAAUGCAGUGAAGAAAAAUCAGUACUACCUUCAUGAAACCCUCAACCGCACCUGGGUUGUUCUUAAUCAUGUAUAUUCCGCGGAAGAAUUGAAGACAAUGGGUCUUCAGGAAGCAUUUGACUGGUCUGCACCACCUCCGAAGAAAUUCAAGAGAGUCAAAGUUCCUGAUUUGGUGGCUAGCUCUUAUUCUUCAUCGCGUGAAACUGAUGAAUAUGAAGAUUUGGACGACACUGCGGCAGGCCCUACUUCAACAUCCAACCCCGACAACGCUGGCGCUCCUUCCUCGACUUGAAAAUCUUCAGGGGCGUUAGUCCUCAGUUUCGAUCCUUUUGGUCAUUUGAUGACAAAGGGGGAGAAAUCUGAGUUAGUCUUCAAGCGGGUUUAUACUAUGGGCGUUUUUAUUAAGUUACAACUCUCGUUCUUCCGAAACCUUUUAUUGGAUCGAGUUGUAAUCUUAAAUCCGAUGGUGCCUUGAUACUUUUGAUCGUGCUUCGAUAUGUUUGAUGCUCUGAUUUUGAUAUGUUUGAUGCUCUGAUGCUUUUGAAGCACUAAGCUCUGAAUAUGAUAUUUGAGCUCUGAAACUCUUGAUGUGAUAUUCUGCAUGCUUAUUCCUAGUCAAUAUUAUUGCACGCAUGCUGAAUCACAUCAGGCACCAUAUUUCAUCAUGCAUUUCAAAUUCUUCAUAUUAUAUAUCAAAUGUGUGUAUGAAUUACAAGAUAUAGGGGGAGAUCUCCAUGAUUCAAUUCUUCAAAAUGUGCAUUGCCUCAAAAGCAAAUUCCUCAUUAUGCACAUAUUCAGGGGGAGUUCUUCUAUAUCUUGCAAUCAAAUUCCUCAAUAUCAGUAUUUACACUUCAUAUGUUUAUCCCCGUUGAAAACUUAACCUAUGUUGUCAUCAAUCACCAAAAAGGGGGAGAUUGUAAGUGCAUCUAGUGCCCCUUAGUGAUUUUGGUGUAUUGAAGACUUAUAGGUUAAGUAACUGAUGCGUUUGUGAGUGUACACAGGUCUAUAAGUCUAGGAGGAGUUUGAUAUUUACAGAGAAAGUCGACCCCUAAAAAUGAAGUUCUUCGACUGAAGACUUUGAUAUUCUGAAGACUUUGAAAGUGAAGAAAUUGGUGUGACCUUGAAGACUUGGUAUUCACUUGAGGAACAUGAAGCGUGAAGACUUUUGUUUUUGUAGUUUCAUUUUCUCUUUCUUGAGUCAUAGGAAACACCGUACUGUUAAAGGGGGUCGAGGAAAUACUAAGGAAAAAUUUCCAUGUGAUGCUCAACUCAAAAUCCUACACCUACCAAUCCUUUCGAGUGAAGCCAUUGGAAAUCUCAUACAGUUCAGUCAAAUUCUUCAGUGACAGAGACGCAGUUCUUCUGGUCACUGAUGACUUUGGUCUGACUGAGGAGUUAGGAAUUCGCCACUGCGAAUUGCCUACACAGUGAGGAACAUGAUAGCCCUGAGGACUUUGAGAGUCAAAUUUCCGACCGUUGCUGUGCUGCGCGCCGGCGGACCAAAAUAUCUUAUCCACCUAACGGUCAUAUCAUUGAAGGGCAUUUAUGUCUUAUCAUGUCGGGCUGCUCCCUAGGCUAUAAAUAGCCGCCCCCUACAACCACUAGUUGGUUGGCUGCUCCGAGAGAACUUGACACUUGUCAUUUGAGAGCAACCCAUCCUCCGAGGACUUUGAGCGAAAAUCAUCAAGUGAGGAAAAUCCCCAAACCAAACCCCCACAAACCCAAAGUGAUUGAGCAUCACUGAAGAAAUCGAUCCUGCGUGGAUCCGACGCUUGUUACCUUUGAAGACUGUGCUUCUUCCAGACGGUUAGGCGUCAAGGUCUAGAGCAUCCAAGAGGAAUUGUGGAUCGCCGAGUGACCAAGUCUGUGAAGGUUUGGAAGUCACCUGAAGACUUACCACGAGUGAUUGGACGAGGCCUGCGUGGUCUUAGUUCAAGGAGAAUACGGUGAGGAAUGGGUGUCCUGAGUUGCGGCUCAGAGACUGGGUGUCCGGGACUGUGUGUCCUCGAGUUUAAAUACUCAGCCGCUCCAACCAGACGUACAACUGAGACAACAGUUGGAACUGGUCUACCAAAUCAUUGUCUUCACCAACUGACUGGUUCUAUUUCCUCAACUCAUUCAUUUCCUCAUUCUGUGUUGCAUGUUGUUCAUAUCUGUGCUUGAAGACUUUGACUGAAGACUUUCACAAAUUCCUCAGUUCAAUUUCUUCAGUCUGUUUGUCUUCAUCUUGUUAUCCUGUGUUUACGCUUUCCGUACUCUAUUCUAGUCUUCAUUUCAUCAUGCUGACUAUGUGUGUAUCCUGUUAUGUUUACUUCUGAGUACAUAUUCCGCUGCAAGUAGUUCUUCGCUAAGGAAUUUCCUCACCGGCAAAUUCCUCAGUGAAGAAUUCAUAAAAAUCGCCUAUUCACCCCCCCUCUAGUCGAUAUAACGCACUUUCAGAUAGUUGUGCUGGUUGUGUUUUCAGGGAAAGAACAGUCGAUCAAGUUGAAUUAUUAUUGAAUAAUAUGUUGACAAAUGAAAAUAAUUGGACACUUCCUGAACCAAUCCUGAAGCCAACUCCGAAGAAAAUAGGUGUUCUAUUUCUCAGUCCUGAAGAUAUGCAAGAGGCAAAGAAAUCUAUGAAAGAAAAAGGUAUUAAAGCUGAAGAUGUUAAGAAUUUACCUCCUGUUGAAGAAAUACAUGGCCUUAAUAUACCACCUAUCAAAGAAAUACAUGGUCUUGAUAACUAGACACAGGUAGUAAAGGUAAAUUCUCUCUAUAGAUAUGAUAAAGUUGAAAUUCCGUCUACUAAGUUUGCUAGCCAAUGCUUGGAUGAAUUUGAUGACUUUAUGGCUAGACAAGAAAAUUUUAAUGCUUAUGUUGGUAGACAAUUAAAAAGUAAUGCUUAUAUGAUUGGACACUUGAGGGAUUAUAUGGCUAGAGUUAAAGGUGAACUUAAACUCAUUAGUAAACAUGCUUCUAUGGUUACCACUCAAGUAGAACAAGUACUUAAGGCUCGGAAUGAUUUGCUCAAUGAAUUAAAUAAUAAACAUGACUUUGCUGUUAGAGGAGCAACUAGAAUGGGUAAAAUGACUCAGGAACCCUUGUAUCCUGAGGGCCACCCUAAGAGAAUUGAGCAGGAUUCUCAGAGAACUAAUGUUGAUGCACCUAGUACUUCUAAAAAGAAGAAGAAAAAUGAUAGGACUUCACAUGCUUCUAGUGAACUUGUUGUAGACACACCUGAGAAUCCCAAGAAUAUUUCUAUUUCUGAUGCUGAGACACAAUCUAGUGAUGAACAGGAACCUAGUGAUAAUGUUAAUGAUAAUGUUCAUGUUGAUACUCAACCUAUAAAUAAUAAUGAUGUAGAGAUUGAACCUGCCGUUGAUAUUGAUAACCCACAAUCAAAGAAUCAACAUUAUGAUAAGAGAGACUUUGUUGCUAGGAAGCACGGUAAAGAAAGAGAACCAUGGGUUCAGAAACCCAUGCCUUUUCCUCCUAAUCCAUCCAAGAAAAAGGAUGAUGAGGAUUUUGAGCGCUUUGCUGAAAUGAUUAGACCUAUCUUUUUGCGUAUGCAUUUAACUGAUAUGCUUAAAGUUAAUCCUUAUGCUAAAUACAUGAAAGAUAUUAUUACAAAUAAAAGAAAGAUACUGGAAGCUGAAAUUUCCACCAUGCUUGCUAAUUAUACUUUUAAAGGUGGAAUACCUAAGAAACUAGGAGAUCCAGGAGUACCAACUAUACCUUGGUCCAUUAAAAGAAACUAUGUUAAAACUGCUCUAUGUGAUCUUGGAGCAGGUGUUAGUGUUAUGCCUCUCUCUUUAUAUCGUAGACUUGAAUUGAAUAAGUUGACACCUCCUGAAAUAUCUUUGCAAAUGGCUGAGAAAUCAACCUCUAUACCUCGGCAUUUGUGGGGAUGUGCCUGUUGUGGUUGCAAACGUUACUAUCUUAACGGACUUCGUUAUUCUUGAUAUUCCCGAGGAUGAUAGUAUGUCGAUUAUCCUUGGUAGACCCUUUUUGAAUACUGCAGGGGCUGUUAUUGAUUGCAACAAAGGCAAUGCCACUUUUCAUGUUAAUGGUAAUGAACAUACGGUACAUUUUCCGAGGAAACAACCUCAAGUUCACAGUAUCAAUUCUAUUGGAAAAAUUCCAUCAAUUAUUAUUGGAGGUUUUGAAUUUCCUCUUCCUACUAUCAAGAAGAAAUAUGAUAUUCUUAUUAUUGGGGAUGUUCAUAUCCCCGUUGAGGUAACCUAGUGUUAUUCGAAAUUACUCUGGUUCCAUGUUAUUCAGAUUGAGUUUGUUAACAAGAUCAUGAGAUGGAUGAAGUUACAAGGCACAACCUUCUGUACCCUCUUUUUACUUUCUUUUAUUUAGGUUAAAUAAAGCAAAAAUAGUAUUUUCUGUCUGUUUUCUGAAUUAUCCAUGCAAUAAAAAAUACCCCAAAAAUAAAAGUUCUCCAAAUGCCCUGAAAAUUUAAUAUGAUUUUUUCUAGAAUAUUUGAGAAUAUCUGGCACUGAGAACACAGCAGGGGGAGCAAGCACCUGGCCACGAGGGUCCAGGGCGCGCCCCUUGCCUCGUGGGCCCACGGUGGCCCCCUUCACUUAUUCCUGCACCCAUACUCUUCUUCUUCCUCCCAAAAAAAUCACUAUCCAUCUCAAGCUCAAGUUCUAGCUCAUCUUGCUGCCAUUUUCGAUCUCCUUCCUCAAAGCUCCUUUCACAAAACUGCUUUGGUGGUUUGUUCUUUGGUAUGUGACUCCUCCAAUGAUCCAAUUAGUUUUUGUUCUAGUGCUUUAUUCAUUGCAAAUUUUUGCUGCCUAGGUGACCCUGUUCUUGAGCUUGCAUGUCAAAUUUAUAUGGUCCCAAGUAGUUCUAAUGCAUGAAAUAGUCUCUAGGCACUUGUGGGAGUAGUUGCUAUCAAUUUUGUUGAGUUUGGUUCACUUUUAUUUUGAGUUACUAAAAAUUUCAGAAAUUUUCAGAAAAUGAUGAAGAGAUUUUUGAGGGGCUCUUCUAGCCAAAGAUCGAAGGAGAAGCAGAGUAAGGAGAAUAAAAAGCCCAAGUAUAAUCUCCCUUGCGUCACGGAAGUUCAGCCGUGUGAAUGGCCUUGUGAUGAUUUCUUGAGAGCGGCCGGGAUUCAUGAUGAUUUUUACUCUUUGGCUGGUGAUGCGGGCCUCACCGACUUCCUCCAUGACCAGCUCGAACAGUAUCUCUGACUCACUAAUACUUCUGUGCAAAAAAUUUACUUUCAUUCUAAGAAAUCACCUCCUUUAGUAGAGUUUCAUUUAUAUGAUGAGGCUAGGGAGAUGUCAUUAUGUGAAUUUUGUGCGGUUUGCAAGAUACCCUUCGAGGGCAGCUUAGAGGAACCACAUCGUAGAGAUGUGGAUGGAUUUAUUGACAUGAUUACUAUAGGGGAAACGAGGAAGGUUUUCGAUGCAAGGAUUACUAGCAUACAUUUUCCUGUUUUACGUUACUUUGCAAUAUUCGCUAGUCGAUGCUUAAUUGGUCGCGGGAACUGUGGAAACCUUAGUGUUCCCGAUAUUAUUAUUUUGUGCCAUGCUUUAUUUUGUGAUAACACUGUUAGUACGUGUGCUAUUGUUGCUAAAUGGUUAAGUCUGAACCGUACAAAGGGCCCCAUCUUUGGAGGCAUCUAUGCUUCACGCCUUGCUAAACACUUCAGGGUACCUAUUAGGCAUUAUGAGAAAGAUGAAAAGCUACUGCCUCCUACUUUUCUAGAUUAUAAGAGCAUGGUAGCACAUGAGUUUAUUGUUAAAAAUGAUGAUAAGAUGCUUAAGUAUAAUUUGAGAUUUCAUAAAACUCACAGUGAGACUAUUAUCUUGCCUGCACCCUCUUUGUUUGAUUUAACUACAGGCACGUACCUCAUCUUGCCGGAUGCCGUUCACACGUACCGGGGCCAGACAUCAGCUCCAGAGCCUGAGCCGGAACCACCACUUGACCCUUAUCGACCGUCCUUUUAUCAGUGGGAUCUGGAGGAGAUCGCCAGCCAGUGGUACCCGGAUGACACUCCUCAGUACACCGGAGAGAGUAGCCGCAAUCCAUGGGCAUAGACCAACUUAGGCCAAAAGCCUAAGCUUGGGGGAGUACGUAUUUCUCACUGACAUUAAAUUCAUGUUCACACAGUUAUUCUAGUUGUCGGUGCUCACACUUUUUCAUUGUACUAUCCAUGCUAGUUUAAUUUCUUUUUCUUGCUUUCUUCUUGUGUGUUUGAAUAACCUUAAGAAAAACCAAAAAAAA